This 47949-nucleotide long non-coding RNA is filed under the name Gossypium barbadense (sea-island cotton). RNAcentral's name for it is "long non-coding RNA (GBAR_LNC013164)". The record is from RNAcentral. Lineage: Eukaryota; Viridiplantae; Streptophyta; Magnoliopsida; Malvales; Malvaceae.
UUUUUGCCAACGAAGACAAACAGGGAGAUGAAGAUGAAACACAGAGACAUAAAAGAGUCGCUUAGGGAAAUGAUAAAGAGAAGGGAGAAGGCAAUUAAAGCAGGGGAAGAGAGCAAUGAGGACUUGUUGGACAUACUUGUGGAAUCCAAUAUCAGAGAAAUGGAAGCAAAGAAUAUGGGGAUGAGCAUUGAGGAUGUGAUUGAGGAAUGCAAGCUGUUUUACUUUGCUGGCCAAGAGACCACUUCGGUCUUACUGGUGUGGACUAUGGUUUUAUUAGCAAGGUAUCCCGAUUGGCAAAGUAAAGCAAGAGAGGAGGUUUUGCAUGUUUUGGGUGACAAUAAACCUGAUGCUGAUGGCCUUAAUCGUCUCAAAGUUGUAAGUCCCUAGCAUGUCUUUUGAAGGUCCGAUCAAUGAGGUCGACAACUCAAAAACUUUGUUUCUUUUUUCGCUAAUUCUACAGGUAACGAUGAUAUUGUACGAGGUUCUAAGGCUGUACCCACCGGUGGUUGAGCUAGGACGUUCCGUUCCAAAAGAAAUAAAACUGGGGAAUUUGUUGUUACCAGUAGGAACAGAAGUUUCGGUUCCGAUCCUGCAGAUCCACCAUGACAAAGAUCUUUGGGGUAACGACGCACGGGAAUUUAAGCCAGAGCGGUUCGCGGAAGGGGUUUCCAAAGCAACAAAGAGUCAAGUCACGUUUCUGCCAUUCGGAUGGGGUCCUAGGAUCUGUAUUGGCCAAAAUUUUGCUUUGAUGGAAGCCAAAAUGGCGAUGGCUAUGAUUCUCCAACGCUUCUGGUUCGAGCUUUCCCCUUCCUAUGCUCACUCUCCUUACAGCAGGGGAACUCUUCGUCCACAGCAUGGUGCACAGAUAAUUUUACAUAAACUUGGCUGUAAUUGAAUUGUUAUGUAAACAAAUCUUUGUGAAAACAUAGCGUUUUAGUGUAUCGUCAAAGUCCGGUGUCUGUAAUGGUACAAAUUCGAUGCAUGAAUAGUAAAUUUUGAGAUGUUUGGUGAAGUCCGAAAUAAUAUGCAGAAAUUGAGCGUCUAUGGUGGACAUAGUUGAGGGACUAAUGUGGUAAUUAUCAAUCAAAUAAUUCGGUACAAAGACUUGUAUGGAAAUUAAAGCAGGGGGAGUUGAAAAUGACUACUCUGCUUUGGGCAUCAAUUUAGAAAGAUUUAAAGUACAACUGUGUUAUCAGUUAAGGGAUUUGUUUUAAAGAGGGAAUGACAAUUAAACCUCAUGGUUUAUUUGUGCAAGGGAACCGAUGAUGGGAUGAUUAUUCUUAGUGGUAAAAAAAACCAUUAUGGAGGUUAUUACACUUGUUAUCAUCAGCUUAAAAUUCGAAUGGGUUCAAGUCGGAUUAUAUCGAGCUUGUAAGAUGAGUUCACGGACCAAGUUUGCAUAAUAAAAUACCUAAAUGAAAAAAAAUUCUAUUUUAGAGGGACGAGAGCCCCUAUCAACUCCCGGCUCAGCCACUAAACAAUACCUAUAUCAUAUAAAUAAAUACCACCAUCUAAAAGACUCAAAGAAAAACACUCAACAAAGGAUAAAUAGAUAGAUGUUGGAUAAGUGUCCAAAAUAUGAUUUAAGUGAAGAUACAUGUGGUAGGUGUUACGGAAAUGUGAAGACAAGAAUCCCACUAACGUAUGGGAUGUGUGCAGUUGAAUGUAGGGAGCAAAAAGAGGAGUGAAUCAUUUUGGUAACAUUUGGACAAGAAACAUAAUGAACAAAAUGGAAGGAGAGGAAGCUAGUAAAAGAAUUUUUUUGGGUCAUAUAAUUUGUUCAUUUUGGAGUUGAAUUAUAAUUUUUUUAUAUAUUAUUUUAAAAUUUUAAGGAGUUAAAACAAAAUUAUUUUAUUUUCAGAUGGUCAAAGUAGAGGUGAUAAUGGGUUGGGCUAUUCGGCCCGGCCUGACGAUUCACUCGAAAAAUAGGAGGGUUUAGGUAAAAAUAUAGGCUCGAAAUAGGGAUUUGAGCAAAAAAAGAGUCCCGUUUAGAAAAUGGGCCAGGCCUCGGGUAAAAUUUUUUGGGCCCAAGCCUGACCUGAAUUAUAUAUUAAAUAUAUUUUUUAAUUUUUAAUCAAAUAUACUUUUUUUUAUUAAUUUGGUUAUUAUUUUAGUUCUAAUUUGUUUCAAUUUUAAUAUAACCACUUUUUAUUAUAUUUUCAAUUUGUGUAUUGUUUUAAGAAUUGUUUUAGUCUCAUUUUUUUAUUUAUUUUUUGUUUUAAUAAUUGUUUUAAAAAUUUUUAUUUAAUGAAAUAAGCUAAAAAAAUUAAUAUGGGCUUGGCCAGGCCAGGCUCGGGCCUAGUAAUUUUCUUUUGGGCCGGACUUAGAUAAAAUUUUAAGCCCAUAUUUUAAAUUGGGUCCUAACCUAAAAAAUGAACCUAAAAUUUUAUAUGGGCCCGACUUGGCCCUUGAUUACCUUUAGGUCAGAGCUAUCCUCGUUUUGCAUUUCUUUGAGAUUCAGCCUUAUCUACUGUGAUUGCCCACUCAAUUGAGGGUUGAGUAGAAAGAUUUGGUGAAGCAAGCUAAGCUAUCAAUCAAGGUUUGCAUAAUUAUUUAAAUGUAAUUCUAAUAUUAAAAUAAUUUUUUUAUUAAUAUAGUAUCAACAAGCAUUAAAUGUAAUGAUCAUAUACUAUUACAUUUUAAAGAAGAGAAAACAUGUUUGAACUUUAAAAACCACGUUACUAAAAACAUUAUCACAAACCUUGAAAUAUAAAAAAUAAUUUUUUUAAUAUAAUAAAAAAUUAAUUUUAAACCCGAGCUGAAUAAAAUUCUAAUUUUAGUUAAUGAUACGAACAACAAAUCAAUAUUCUAAGCCCGAGCCCUGCUCAUUUUUUUAAUAAACACCAAAAAUUUAUUUUGAAAAUAAAAAAUAAAAAAAAUAUUUUAAAAAUAUUUUAAAAAUAAAAAAAAUUAAAAAUAAAUAUUUAUUAUAUAUUCAGGCCGGGCCGGGCUAGCCUUGGGCUAAAAAAAUGGUGCCCGAGGCCCGGCCCAUUUUCUAAAUAGGCCUCAUUUUUUGUCCAAACCCAUAUUUUGGGCCUAUAUUUUUACCCGAACCUCUCAUAUUUUGGGCGGACCGUCGGGCCGGACCGGGCCGCCCGGCCAUGAACACCUCUAGGGCAAAGUCACUCAAUGAAUGCAUGGAAAGAAAUAUUGCAACUUGGUGACAGCUUUUGUUGGAGUUAUAUGCUUUUUUUUACAUAGUGGAACUUUCGGUGGAUUUUCAAGUUUCAUGAACUUUAUACCCUAGGCUUUACGUGAAAAAAAUCAUUGGACUUAAAAGUCUACCAAAAGUUUCACUAUAAUAAAUAAAUAAAUAAAUAACAUUGCUACAAGACUACAACAUAAAGUUACAAUAAGAGCUUAUAACUCAACAAAGGCUAUCAAUAAAUAAUCUCAAGCAAGCUAAAGAGAAAUGUUGAGAGUACCACUCAAAUAGUGAUUGACUUUAAAAAUUGAAAACCCGAAGUUAUUGUUGACACCAUUUUUUGGAUGAAAAUGUGUCGACUUGGGUUUUGAAAAUGAAAACGAAAACGAGAGUCGCCACCAAUCCUUUUUGAUAAGGUGUGACUGGGUCACCUUGAAAAGUGGUUGUUUUUAAUAAACGAUUUGAUUUUAUUAAAACAACAGUUUUGGUCCACGAAAUUCAGAAAAAUGAGUUCGGGAGUCGGUUACGCACGAGGAAGGAUUAGCACCCUCGAUACGCCCAAAAUUGGUACCUAGUUGAUUACUUAAUGUCUUAAUGUCGAAAAUUGAAAACUUUGGAGAAUUUUAAACAUACGAUCCUUGUAUUAAAACGUUAAAAAUUUUCAAGAAAAUGGGAUAUUUCACGUUAUUCGAUAAAGAGAAUCAUAUCCUAGUAAGUUAGGACACAAUAUCUCGAAUUUCCGAUAUCAUUUAAAACUUGAGUUUGAAAAGAUUCGUGUAAUAAAGUUUAAAAUAAUAUUCAAUUGUUUAAAUCAAAUGAAGAAAUCGCAACCCAAUACGUUAGGGCACAAUUUCUCAAAAUAUUAAACAUUGAAUAUUGCAUUUAUUUCGAAAAAUCCUCAUCUCGAGAAAACGUGUCACAUCCAAUGCAUUAGAAUACAACGUAUUGAAUUCUCGAUAACGAGCUUUUUCUCAUUUUUUAAAAGAGUAAUCUCGAUUAUUUAGGUUCAACGAAGAAAAUCAAAACCCAAUACGUUAGGGCUCGAUUUUCUCAAAGAUUCCAAAUACCGAGUAUUACUUAUAUUUUUAAAAUUUCUUUUUUGAAAUCCGAGUAAAAAUGAAUGCAAAAUAAUAAAUGAUGACAAUGUAAAUAAAAUGAUACAAGCAAAACAAUAAACAAUAAAAAUAAUCAUACGGGCAAGGUAACAAAUAAUUAGGAACUAAAGAAAGAGAACAAACAAUAAUAAACAUGCAAAUAAAUGAACAAAAUUAACAACAUGAUGCAAAUAUGAAAGAUAUAUAAGCACAUAUAUAUACAUAAAAUAAUGAGAAUAUGAAAAAAUGUGUGUAAUUGGACAUGUUUCGGAAUUAUUAUACAUUUAAAAAUCAUGUAAAUGUGUGUACAUACAUAUAUACAUAUAUAAUAAUCAUUAAAUAUAUAAAAAUACAUAUGUGUAGGUAUAUAUGAGUCAUAAAAUGUAAAGAAUAUAUACAAGAUAUAUUUUGAACGUAUAAAGUAUAUGUAAAUGUAUAUAUAUAAUAAAGGUGUAUGAAAGCAUAUUUUAUAUACGUGUAUUUAUAAAAUGUAUAUAAAUGUAUAUUGAUUUACCAAUACAUAUGGAUUUAUAAUUAUAGAAUAUAUAUAAAAUAUUUACAUAUAUACGUUUAUGCAUAUAUAAAAGUAAGUUAUUAUAAAAUAUGAGCAAGCAGAAUACAUAAAUAUAUAUACAUAAAAUAAAAAUGAAGAUGAAAAUAAUAUAAAACUACUUAAUAUAUUAAUAUAAUAGUAACAAAUUAAAAAAACAGAAAAUAAAGCUAAUAAUAAUUAAUAAUAGUAGUAAUAAUUAUAGCAGCAAUGAUAAUGAUAAUAAUAAUAACACUAAAAAAAUUAAUUAAAUAAUAAAAUUGCUAAAAAGGGAUUAAAUCGAAAUAAAAACAUAAAUACUGGGCGAUUUUGAAAUAAAAAACGGGAAGGACCGAAUUGCAACGCGCGUUGAAAAGGAAAGGGCCAAAACUGCAAAUAAACCACAGCCCCAAAACGCAGCGUUGAAAUGGACCAAGUCGAAAUAAAAAUAAAAUUGCAGGGGCUAAAUUAAAAAUAAGAGAAAAUAACGAAAAAUGAUCAAAUUGUAAUACGCUGCAAAAUCAGGGGGACUGCACGCGCAAAUAGCCCAAAAACUGAAAACACGCGGAUCCUCCGGGUCGGGUCGGGUCGGGUCAGGUCGACGUGCGGAUCCCCUUUGCUAAAACGGCGUCGUUUCAUGUUUAAUAUAAAUACUAAAAAAAGCUAAAAAAAACAGUUUCAUCUUUUUUUAAAAAAAACAGAGAGAAAACUCUCUCUUUUUCCCUCAGGUCCGGCCAUGGUCCGGCUUGGGAUUUCCGACGAGUCUCCGCCGCAAAGCCACCGUGUGUGGCGGCCGGAGGUUCAAAAUCAGACCUUUUUGGUCCUUUUUUAAAGUCCAUGGCCUCCAAGCCACAGAUCCGGGGCUGAAUCUCCUGAAUCGAAAGCCGAAGACCCAAAAAAUGGGGUGAAAUCCUUCGCCUUCCUCCCCCUUCCGGCGCUGCGCAGGUAAGGUUUUUUUUAACUCCUUUUUUACUAUCUUUAUUUAUAUAUAUACAUGAAGAGAAAAGAGAGCAAAAUAAAUAAAUAAAUAAAAACUUCAAAACUGAAGAGAAAAAGACCUUGAAUCUGCCUUAUUUAUUUUCUUUCGGUUGAAUCUGUUUUUGUUUGUUACAAAAGUUUCCAGGGAAGAGAAAAAAAAAGAGAGUUACAUGCUUGGCUUUUAUAGCCGAUAUUAAUUUCUAUUUUUUGUUUUCUUUUUCCUUUCUUUUCUUUGGCUGUUGCGUGUUUGCUUCCUUAUUGCAGGGUGAUUGACGGGAGUGGUUGGCGACAGAGUCGGUGGCCACUUGCACUGAUGAAGCAGCGGUGGCGGCGCUAGGGUAGGCUAGGGACGGCGGCAGUACUAGGGUUUCAGAAAACUGAAACCCUAGUUUGACAAAUUGGUUUCGGGCCUGUUGGGCUUUAAAUUAUGGGCUUUGUAAUUGGGUUUUGGGUUUAGGUGAUUUGGGUUUAGGUGGUAUGGGCCCGGGUCAAAUUUUGGGUAAUGGGAUUGGGGCAAAAUUGGGUUGUACAGUUAUAAUAUCCCAAACGAAAUCAAACUAUAAACAUUAAAUUUUUCGAGUCUUCUAGAUACUGUAAAAAAUUCAGCUCCAACGGACACCAAAUGAACCUAUGAUCGAAGAAAAUACGAAGACUAGUCUGGCUAAAUCAAUCUGCCAAACUUACUUUUUAUCUUAUCUUUAAUUUGCUGUGAAAUUCAAAACUACGUGUAAUACUCAAUUUAUGCUCGACCCAUUUUGUUAAAACAAAUAAAAAAGAAAAGAAAAACAAAAUAUUUAAAUUUAGCCCAAAUGUCCAUUUACACAGCCCAAUUACAAUUGCAAAUAAAAAAAACUAAAACUAAACCCGAUCCUAAGCAUCAGCCCAAAUUCGACCCAUGCCCAAAACGAAUUCAGAUGCAGAAACCCUAGCCCAGCCUUAAUGCAAGCAAAAGUCGAAAGCCCUAAUAGUUGGUGCGCCGCUCCUGUAACAGCCCGAUUUUGGGCCUAGUCGGAACAGUGGUUUUGGGACCACAAAUCCGACGAGAAAAAAAUGUAAUGGCCCGAAUUUUCAGAGGUGUCAGAACGGUGAUUCGAGAUCACUAAAUUCGACAAAUGGGUAGAAAAUAUUAUUAAUUUAGUAAGUAUAAGUUAAAUGUGAAGUUAGGAAAAUUUUUGAAAUGGUGAAUAGUACACUAGAAAUAAAUAUUAAAAUAAUUAGAAUCGAAAAUGAGGUAUCGAGACCUCGGGGAUUUUAAACCGAGCCAUAAAUAUUUUUAUAAAUAUUUAUGUAGUCUUAAAAAGUUAGUAUUAAAGUUUCGUUAAGAAAUUUUAAAGUUCCGAUAAUUAAUUGAACAAAAAGGACUAAAUUGUAACAAAUACAAAAUUAUGAGAAAUGAUUAAAUAGUUUAAAUGAUAAAAGGAAGAGGGCUUAAAAGGUAAAUAGACCCAAGGUCUAUUUGGGCUGCACGGCAAAGGCAUGAAAUCAGCAACAAAGUAAGGAGAAUUAAGGGCAAAAUUGGAAUAUUGCAAAAUUUACUUAAUAAAGUUAGGACCAAAGUGGAAUUAUCUAGAUUUCUCUUUAUUUUUCUGCAUUAUCAUCAGCAUAAACACCAUAGAAGGGUUUUCUUAAGCUGGUUCUUCCUAUUUUUACUGCAGGUAAGUUCAAUUCUUGAUUAUUUCUUGAAAAUUUUGUGUUUUUGUGACUUUUACAACUAGGCCCACUUAUUGUAUUCAUUAGUUUUUGAUUCUAUGAAAGAAGUUGAAAGUUGCUAUGAAUACAUGCUGGAAGUAUAUGAUGAUUUAGCAUGGAAUUAGAGCUUUAAAUUGUUCAUAUGCUGAUUUAUUGAAAGAAUUGAAUAGAAAGUGAAUGUUUGGGACCUAAUAGUAAAAGAGUUUGAAGAUAGAGUUAUAUGUGGAAAUUCUGAAUUUCAAUAGUUGUGAAACAACUUAUAAUGUCUAGGUUAAGUAUUAAUUGAGAAAAUUAAAUUAAUUGAGGGGUUAAUUGAGAAAGGACCGAAUUGUAUAAACUGUGAAAUUUGGGGCAAAAAGGAAAUCAACAUUUUACACUAAAGCAGUUUUGGACAGCAGCAGUAGUAUAACUUUGAAAAAUCACCAAAAAUUUUGAGAAUUGAAUUAGAGGGUGAAUAAAAUAUAAAAUUAAAGCUCCUUGAAUCUAGUUUCUCAUAGAAGAAACGGUGUAAGCAAUGGAAUUGUAAAUCAUGAGAUAUAAUAAAUUUUGUGAGACAAUGUCAUAAUGAUUUCGGGUUCCCCUAUUCUGACUUUGGAAAAUCAUCAAAAAAUUAAGAAAAAUAUGAGUUAUAAUUUAUAUGAUUACAAUCCUUAAUGAGUCUAUUUUCAAAGAAAAUAAACGGAAAUAUCAUCCAAAUUCUGUACAAUUAUAUAAUUCAUUUUUAGUGAAGAGUGGUCGAAACUGUCAGACAGCGAAAUAGGGGGAACUUUAAAGAAUAAACUGUACUAUUUGGCUGAACCAAAAAUUCUGAAAAUUUUAUGGUAAGAAGGUAUGUGAGUCUAGUUUUAAGGAAAAUUAACGGAUCUUAAUUUAGAGCUCUGUAGCUCUAGAUAAAAAUAAUUUAGUGACUCUGACUCAGAUAAAUAGCUUUGAAUGUACAUGUGAGUGAAUAGUGAAAUUAUAGCUAGUGUUGUUUAAGUGUGUUAUACACAUUAAGGAUAUGGAAUGGAGAGGAGGAGGAGGAGGAAAAAUUGGGAAAUAUAUGAAUGAUUUGUGUAUAAUUGGUCAUAUGCUUAAUUAUAAUUGAUAAACGAUGAAAUAGAAAUGAUGCAUAUAUUUGUGCAGUAUUGGUCAUGGUUUAAGCUCAUGUGGGAAAAUAAAGUUUAUAGUACGUGUGUAUUAUAUUUUUGGUAUAUGAUUUGGCAUUAAGUAAUGUCGUGAAUGGAUAUUGAAUUAACACAUGUUGGAAAGUUUGAUAUAUGAAUAAAUAUUGUGAUCAUGAAAGAGUGUUACAGCUCCUGCCUUCAGCACGCGUCGAGCCUCCGCGCCAAAUCCACGUGAGCCUCCGUACACUCCAACUAGCCUCCGUACCUGCAACAAACAAAAGUAGACAAAACAACAGCAAAGGAUAGGAAGAAAAGGCAGUAAAUAGUGAAGAUUUUUCUGUAAUUUUCUUUGGAUUUCAUUAUGUAUUUUCGGCUAUAAAAGAGCCAUUAGGAAUAUUUGUAAAGGGUUUUUUUUUUACCCUCACACACAAAGAGAAUAUACACGCAUACAAGAUCAAUAUAGAGAAAGAAAUAAAAAUAAAUAAAUACAAAGAAUAGAAAAUCAAGUUUCGAAGGUGAUUCUUUGAAAAAUCCUUUUCGUUUUUCUCAUUUUUCCUUUUUCCUGGAUCUUUUGUUCAUUUCAAGUAAAAAAAGUAUAGAAAGGAAACAAGUUUAGAGGAAGGAGGUUUACCUGGACGCCGGACCUCGCUCGCCUCGUCGAAAUCGAAGGCUGAGAGGGGAUAAAUCGGUUUUGCGGCAGAAGGAAAGGGGGGCUAGGGUUCUUGUUUUAACUUUUUUAAAAAAAAUAGAAAAGGUUGCUAAUUAGGUUUUAAUGGGGGAUUUAUGUGUGUUAAAAAAACGACGUCGUUUAGCGACCUUUGACCCGUGCGGUGACCCGACCCGAGGAAAGGAUCUGCGCGUUUUGGGUCUGAUGGGUUUAUUGCGCAACAAGCCCUUCCGCAUUUGUUUUUCGUUUCAAUUCGGUUUUUAUUUGUUUUUUAAUUGUUUUCUCAUAUUUAGUUCCAAUUUCAAUUGGGUCCAUGAUUAAACGACAUCGUUUUCAUUGAUUGGGUUUGAAGGCCUGGUUUUGUGCGUCUAAAUUGCAGCAAUGGUCCCCCUGAUGUGCAAUAGUUCUCGAUUUAGUCGUCUCCACACUUAUUUCAAAGUCGUCCUUGAGAUUUUGUUUUAUUUUUGAAAUUGUCCUUGUCUUCUUUUAAUUUAUAAUGAUAUUAUUAUUAUUGUUGUUGUUAUUAUUACUAUUAAUAUGGGUAUUGUUAUCAUGUUAGUUUAUAUCUAUUUAUUUACUUUUAUUUUAUUAUGUAUUAUUAUAUAAUGCUUUUAUCAUGUAUCAUUUUAUAUAUUUUCUAUGUUAAUCUAAUAUGAUAUAUAUAUAUAUAUGUAUUUUUGUGAUCUUAUUUUAUAAUACUUUUUUAACCCAUUUAUAUGCCUUUAUGUUUUAAAGAUUUAUAAUAUUUUGUGCAAAACUAUUAUAUAUAUAUAUAGAUAUACAAUUUAUAUUAGACCAUUUUUAUCGUACAUAUACGUAUAUAUAAUUUAUAUUUUGAAACUCUAUUUUAUUAUAUUUUAUGCCUCUAUAUACAUCAUUAUAUGUUUAUUAUUCUUUAUAUUAAACCUGCCAUUUCACUUAUAUAUUUUUAAAACCAAUGUGUAUUAUUCUUUCUUCUUUGUUAUUUUUUAUCUCUUAAAAUAGAUUGAUAAUUCAUUUAAUUUUUGAAUGUUGUAUGACCGAGAUUAUCGUUGCCAUUCUUGUCCAAAUUUAUCCAUUGCUUGUUCAUAUUAUUUGAUAAUUUAUCGCUCACUAGCAUGUAUCGUAAUUUACGAAUUAUCAUUUUGAAUUAUGUACUACCAUUCAAUCGCAUUACAUUUGUUUGGAAAACAUCGAAAUCGUUUUGCACAUAAACCUUCAAAAUGCUUGGUAUCCAAAAUUCUCGAGAGGAUUGUGCCCUAAUUUAUUGGGCUUCAAUUCCCCUUUUUGAUUUUAAAUAACCGAAUACCCCUUUUUCAAUUUGAACAUAGAAAUUCCAAAAUAAAAAAAAACUCAUUCUCGGGAAUUUGAUGCGUUGUGUCCUAACGUAUUGUAUAUGACAUAUUUUUCUCGAGACGAGGAUUUUUCUAACAAAUAAAAAUAAAGGCAAUAUUCGAUAUUUAGGAAUUUUGUGAAAUCGAACCCUAACUUACUGGGUUUUGAUUUUUUCAUUUGACCCAAGUAGGAUAUCCUUCACAAAUGCACAGAUUUUAAAAAAUCAAAAGAUAAACUUAAUUUCGAGGAUUUAAAAUGUUACACUCUGACUUACUGAGUGUGUCAAUUUAUUUCUUUGAAAUAAGUGAGUCUUAUCAUCCAAUUUAUUUUAUUCAAAUUUUCUUUUCCAAGGAUCGUAUUUUAAAAUUUUUUCAAAAUUUCGACAUUAAGACAUUAAGCAAUCAAUUCAGUACCAAUUUUGGGCGUCACGAGGGUGCUAACUCUUCCUCGUGCGUAAUCGACUCCCGAACCAGUUUUCUCAAAAUUCACAGACCUAAAAUUAUUUUCAAGGUGAUCCGAUCACACCACAAUAAAAGAUCAGUGGUGACUCCCAUUCCUAUUUUUAAAAGUCGAUUCCUGUUUUUCAUAUAUAAAAAAAUGGUUUCGACACUACGGUUUUGUUUGUUUCCCUUAGAACAACUUUCAAAAAGUUAAUUUUGAAAAAUGGAUUGAAUUUUCAAAAUAGAUGAUAUUUUUUUGUGUUAAAAUUUUAUUCGUUGUUUGAAAAAAAAAUUUAAAUCAUUUUCUUAGAAUUAUUUUUAGUGAAACAAAUAUAUCAUAAAUAUAUUUGUUAUAAAAUAUUAUAUUAAUAUUUUCUUUUAACAAUUAAAAUAUAUUUUGUGAUAAGGUAAUAUUUUAUAAUAAUUAAUAUCAUAUAUACUUAAUAAUAAAUCAUGUCUAAUUAAAAUUUAAUUUCAAUUAAAUAUAUUAAUAAAGCUACAUUUAAUCAUAUUUUAUAUAAUUAAAAUAUUAAUAUAAAUAUUUUUCAAUAAUAUAUUAAAGAAUAUUUAAAAUUUAAAUUUAUUAUUACUAAGAUUAAUUAUUAAAACAAAAAUGUAAUAUUAAAUAAUUUAUCCAAUGAUAAGUUAUAUUAAUAAUUUAUUAUAUUAUUAAAUAUAAAUAAUUAAAUAUGUAUGUUUAAUAAUAUUAUGUUAUAAUAUUUAUUACUAAUAUUUUAAUAUUUUUAAACAACCAUGUUUUAAAGAUGGUGGUGAUGGUGAUGGUGCAGGCCCCCUUGUUAAAAUUACAAUAUUUUUAAGUGGGAUGCAUGUAAUAUAUUGUUAGGGUUUUAGAGUAUGUGGUCUUUAAAAGGGUUAAAUUAUAUAUUUAUAUAAUAUGAUUAUUGUUUAUAAACAUAAUAUUGUAGAUAAGUUUAUAUGUAUGUCAAUAUGUAUCCUACUCUAAGGUUAAUAUGUAUUUUUUAGAUGUGGGUUUACCUAUAUAAUAGUAUGAAUCCAUCAUGUGGUCUCAUGAAAUAUACAAACACAUAUCGUGCGAACACAAAGUACGAACAAUAAAAAAUACAAAUCAAGACCCAAUUGAAUAAUUGAAUAACGGAUAGGUAAUAAUGAAUAUCAUAACAUUUACUAUCCCCUCUUUUCUAGUGAGUUAUUGUUUAUGAUAAAUUUGCAACAAAUGUUUUUAUCAUUAUUUUGUUGGUAAAUGAUAAUAAGAUUAAACAUUACUUUCUUAAGCUCCUUCAAUUCUUUGGACGUUAGCGAGUAAACUUGAGCUUCAGCAUUCCACAAACACCUUAAUUUGAAGACACAGUUCUCUCAUACUAAAAACGACAUGGACGUUUACCUUGUAAUUAGAGAUUUGGGCUCAUUGUUGGGUUAUUAAUGAUACGGGGAUGGAGAGCUUUAAACUGGGUAUGGUUGGCCCCAAAGAGGCUCGAAACGUGCUUGAGACUAGAGGUGAUCAAGGGCCGGGUUAGGCCCAGUCUAGAAAAAAAAUUAGGCCCAUUUUUUAGAUUUGAACUCGGCUCGGCUCAAAAUAUAAGCUUAAAAAUUUGUCUAAGUUCAGUCCGAAAGAAAAUUGUUAAGCCCAAGCUCGACCCAUAUUAAAUUUUACAACACCAAAAAAGUAUAUUUAAAUAAAAAUAAAAUAUAUAUAUUUAAUAUAUAAUUCGGGCCGAGCUGAACUCGGGCCAAAAAAGUUUUACUCGGGGCUGGUCCGUUUUCUAAACAGACUUCGUUUUUUUUGCCAAAAUCCAUAUUUUUACCCGAAUCUUCCUAUUUUUUGGGGUGUGCCGUCGGGCCGAACUGGGUAACCGAACCAAUGAUCACCUCUGUAAUCACUGAAUUUUGUCCGGGAAUAACUUUCGUUAAAAAAAUUUUAAAAUUAAAAAAAAAUUAACUUUUUUGCUUUUUGACCCCUAAACUUUUCUAAAAUUUCAUUUUAACCCCUAAACUUUCUCAAAAUUACAGUUCAACCCCUAAACUUUUCUAAAUUACAUUUUGACCCCUAAAAUUUCUUAAAAUUACAUUUGGACCCUUACACUUUCUCAAAAUUACGUUUCGGCCCCAAAAUUUUUGCUACAUUUACAAAUUGGUCCUUCUGUCAGAAAAUCCCCAAUAAUCCGGCGGAUUUCGUGCACCUGCCCCACUAUUUCCGGCAGCCGGCCUAGGGCAUGGCCUUCCCCACCUGCUACCUGCAAACAAGAAGCAAAAUCAACUAUAAAAAGGAGUUUAAACUCCAAAAAUCGGACCCCCACCCACGAAAAAAAUAAAAAAAAAAAACUUGAAAGAAAAAGAAAAAAGCUUUGAGAAAGAAAAAGAAAAGGAAAAGAAGAGAGGGGAGAAGGAGAGGCCGACCAUCGGCGAGCCACCGGAGGAGGCGACGGCAGCAGCGGCAUCGACGGCGGCGUAGAAGACCGAACGGAGAAGAAGAAGAAGAAGAAAAAAAAAGAAAGAAGAGAAAGAAAGAAGGAAGAAGAAGAAGAAAGAAACAAAAAAAAAAGAAAAUAUUUUGUAAUAGUCGGCCCGGCCCGACUCGACCUGCACGACCCGUGACCCGACCCGACAGCACCAGCAACCUAGCAGGCCACGGUAGCAGCCCGGCGGCCCAAAGAGUAGCCCAAAAAGAAAAAAAGAAGAAGAACAAAGCAAAAAAAAAAAGCAGGCCAUUUUCAGCAGGCCCAGUGCAGCCCAGCAGACCCAGCGAACCCAGCAGGCCAGGCCCACACGCAAGCAGCCCAACAGAAAAAAAGGGAAAGAAAAAGAAAAGAAAAAAGAAAAAAGAAAAAAGAAGAAGAAGGGGUUCAAUUUGUAUUAUCCGUUCGGCGAAGCUCGUGUUUUGAGGAUUUUUUUUCGGUAAUUUUAUUUUUUAAUUUUAAUUUAAUGCUCGUAUUUUUUUUAAAUAUUAUUAGUAUUUUAUGCAUUUUUAUAUUUUGGCAUUUAUAUUUUUAAUUUAAUUUACUUCAAUUUUUAUUUUAUUUUAUUUUAAAUAAUUUUAAUAAAUGAGGCAACGAAUCGAUUUAACAUAAAAUCGUUGAUUUCAUUGCUAUGUUGGGUGAAUAUCAUCGGUUUGUGUUAAACACGAUACACCCUUUUUAAAAAAAAGAAAAAAAUCGAAAAAAUUCUAAAAUUCUCAUUUUUUUAAAAUUCUCGUGUUUUAAUAGAAUCACGAUUAAAUAUUAAGUUGAAUCGAUUUGGCACUAAUUCGAUGAUUUCAUCUCCAUGUAGGGAUGAAUAUCAUUUAUUCGUGUUAAAUAUGGUACUUCUGAAAAAAAAUCGGGUUUCAAAAAUUUUCGUGUUUUCAAAAAUUCUCAUGUUUCAAAAAUCUUCGUGUUUUAAAAAUUCCAGUGUUUCAAAAAUUUUCGUGUUUUCAAAAAAAAAUUUCUCGUGUUUUUAAAAAUUCCCGUAUAUCGAAAUUUUCUUGUUUUCAAAAAAAAAAUUCCAUGUUUCAUAAAUUUCCGUGUUUUCAAAAAAAAAUUCUUGUUUUUCAAAAAUUUUCGUUUUUAAAAAAUUUGACCGUGUUUCAUAAAUUUUCGUAUUUCAAAAAAACCUCGUGUUUCAAAAUUUUCGGGUUUUUUUAAAAACAAUUCGUGUUUCUAAAAUUCUCGUAUUUUAAAAAAAAUCGUGUUUUCAAAAAAAGAAAAAGUUGUUGUGCUUUAAAAUUAUCGUGUUUCAAUCGGAUCACGAUUAAUAUUAAAUUGAACUCGUAUUUUUGAAAAUGAAAACAACGCGCGUUUAACGAGAUACCAAUUUUGGGCGUCGCGAGGGUGCUAAUACCUUCCUCGCGCGUAACCGACUCCCGAACCUUAAUUUUCUCUGAAUUUUUACGUGGACCUAAAAUUACCUCUUUUUAGAAAAGUUUAAAAAUGAAUUUUUCUUCUAAAAAGAGAAUUUUGUAGGUGUCCGAUCACACCUAAAAAAAGAUCGGUGGCGACUCCUUUUUUUCAAAUAAAAUCGAGAUUCAGUUUUCAAGUUUUUAAUAAUUACUUCGACAAGCGCCCGUGCGCAAAAUUUUUAAGUCGCUACAGCCUCUACUUGAGACAACAGGGUUUUGCAGGGAAUUCUUACAGGUUCGUUUCUGGCGACAAAAAAGAGCUCUUCACUAUAAGCAUACAAACAAGAGCCAAAACUAUGCCUCUUAGUGAUGAUAUUAGGCCUUAUGUUAUUCCUUUUCAACAUCAAACCGUCAACCGGUAUGGUAUGUUUUUUUUAUUUAAUCUGCAAUUUGUGAUAAUUCUUUGUUAUUUAUGUAUGGAAUUUAUUGGGAGGAAAUGCUGGAAAGAAUUCAUUUACGAGAAUUGGUCCAAGAUCAAGGGUGAACAUUACGGACCCUGAAAAAUAAGAGAAAUACUUAACAAAUUUAAUGACUUCCAGAAGAUACGUACCAAUCCACUGCUUAAUUUGCUUGUAAGCGGCCUUGUUAACCUCGAAGGAGACCGAUGGAGCAAGCAUAGAAAAAUCAUAACCCUUGCAUUUCAUCAAGAUAAGUUGAAGGUAUAGAAUAGUAAUGGGUACUCAAGACUUUAAAGAAAACAUCAUACUUAAGCCUAUGCUUUUCUGAUUUAGAAAUAAUUGGAUGCAGAAUAUGUUGCCAGCAUUUUAUCAAAGUUGUAGUGACAUGUUUAAGCAAAUGGGAGAAGAUGGUGUGUACAGAAGGAUACAUUGAGUUAGAUGUGUCGCCUUAUCUCGUAGAUUUGACAAGAGAUGUUAUUUCCCGAUCUGCUUUUGGAAGCAGCUUCGAAGAAGGCAAACGAAUUUUCCAAUUACUAGAGGACCAACUCGUUCUCACAAUCAAAUUAAUACAAACUGUUUACAUUCCAGGAUGGAGGUAACCGUCUACUUUAAUUUACUUGAAAAAGGUUGCAAAUGUUGGAAUUGGCUAAAUUCGUGUUUGUUUUCUUGAAGGUUUUUGCCCACAAAGACAAACAGGGAGGUGAAGAUGAAACACAAAGACAUAAAAGAGUCGCUCAGGGAAAUGAUAAAAAGAAGAAAGCAGGCAAUUAAAGCAGGGGAAGAGAGUAAUGAGGACUUGUUGGACAUACUUGUGGAAUCCAAUAUCAGAGAAAUGGAAGCAAAGAAUAUGGGGAUGAGCAUUGAGGAUGUGAUUGAGGAAUGCAAGCUGUUUUACUUAGCUGGCCAGGAGACCACUUCGGUCUUACUGGUGUGGACUAUGGUUUUAUUAGCAAGGUAUCCCGAUUGGCAAAGUAAAGCAAGAGAGGAGGUUUUGCAUGUUUUGGGUGACAGUAAACCUGAUGCUGAUGGCCUUAAUCGUCUCAAAGUUGUAAGUCCCUAGCAUGUCUCUUGAAGGCCCGAUCUCUGAGGUCGACAACUCAAAAACUUGGUUCUUUGUUUCGCUAAUUCUACAGUUAACAAUGAUAUUGUACGAGGUUCUAAGGCUGUACCCACCAGUGAUUGAGCUAGGACGUUCCGUUCCAAAAGAAAUAAAACUGGGAAAUUUGUUGUUACCAGCAGGAACAGACGUUUCGGUUCCAAUCCUGCAGAUCCACCAUGACAAAGAUCUUUGGGGCGACGCCGCACGGGAAUUUAAGCCACAGCGGUUCACGGAAGGGGUUUCCUAAGCAACAAAGAGUCAAGUCACGUUUCUGCCAUUCGGAUGGGGUCCUAGGAUCUGCAUUGGCCAAAACUUUGCCAUGAUGGAAGCUAAAAUGGCGAUGGCUAUGAUUCUCCAACGCUUCUGGUUUGAGCUUUCCCCUUCCUAUGCUUACUCUCCUUACAACAUGGCAACUCUUCGUCCACAGCAUGGUGCACAGAUAAUUUUACAUAAACUUGGCUGUAAUUGAAUUGUUAUGUAAGCAAAUCUUUGUGAAAAUAUAGUGUUUUAGUGUAUCGUCAACGUCUGUCUGUAAUGGUACAAUUCCGAUGCAUGAAUAGUAAAUUUUGAGAUGUUUGGUGAAGUCCGAAAUAAUAUGCAGAAAUUGAGUGUCUAUGGUGGACAUAGUUGAGGGACUAAUGUGGUAAUUAUCAAUCAAAUAAUUCGGUACAAAGACUUAUAUGGAAAUUAAAGCAGGGGGAGUUGAAAAUGACUACUCUGCUUUGGGCAUCAAUUUAGAAAGAUUUAAAGUACAAAUGUGUUAUUAGUUAAGGGAUUUGUUUUAAAGAGGGAAUGACAAUUAAACCUCAUGGUUGAUUUGUGGAAGGGAACCAAUGAUGGGAUGAUUACUCUUAGUGGUGAAAAAAAAACUAUUAAGGUGGUUAUUAUAGUUGUUAUCACCAGCCUAAAAUUUGAAUAGGUUCAGGUCGGAUUAUAUUGAGCUUGCAAGAUUAGUUCACGGACCAAACUUGCAUGAUAAUAGGUAUUCACAACAAGAUAUCUAUAGUUUCCAACAAAGUCACAUGUGAGAUCGUGCAUUAGAACCGCAUAAACAUGUUUUAUGUUUAGAAUAUGAUAUGUGUCUAUGUGUAUAGAAUCUACCUAAUAUAUCAUAUUAAUGAAUAGUAUCAAUUGCGGAGCCAAAAAAUUAUUUGUGAGGGGUCAGAAUUAAAUUGUAUAUUUUUACAAAAAUAAAAAUUAAAUUUCACUAUUUUAAUAGUUUAUUUAUUUUUAAUUUUUAAAUGAUUAAAUUAAAUUUUAUAAAUUUUUAGGAUCAAAGUAUAAUUUUAUCAUUACUAAUUUAAAAUUUUAUAAAUUAUAAAAAGUUUAUAUGAAAAGUUUUCUAUUUUAGGGUGGCCAAAGCCCCUGUCAACUUCUGACUCGAUCACUUGCGGUUAGUUGGGUAAAGACUCAAGAAAAAUAGCGGUGUGUUUGGAUGGACGGUGCGUUUACUUGCGGUUAGUGUAAAAAUAGCGGUGGCGGUGAGAUUAGAUACUAUAGCAACACUGUAGCGUGAGACAAAAAGUAAGUUAAACGCACUGCACUGCACUUAAUCGUCUAUCUAAACUCACCAUAAGUGUCUAAAAUAUGAUUUAAGUGAAGAUACGUGGGGUAGGUGUCAUGGAAAUGUAAAAAAAAAAAAGAAUCCUACUAAUGUAUGGGAUGUGUACAAUUGAAUGCAGGAGUGAAUCAUUUGGGUAACAUUUGGACAAGAAACAUAAUGAACAAAAUGAAAGGAGAGGAAGCUAGUAAUAAAAGAUUCUUUUGGGUUAUAUAAUUUGUUUGGCAUAUAUUUUUAUAAUAUUUAAAUAUCAUUUUGGAGUUGUUGAAUUAUAAUUUAUUUUUAUGUUUUAAAACAUAAUUAUUCUAUUUUUAGAGGUCAGAGUAGAGGUGAGCAUGAGUCGGGCUACUCGGCUCGGGCUGAAGGCUUGCGCAAAAUGUGAGAGAUUUGGGUAAAAAUAUAGGCCCGAAAAAUGAGUUUAGACAAAAAAAAAUAUAAGGCCCGUUGAAAAAACAGGCUAGGCCUUGGGUAAGGCAUUUUGGCCCCAGACCCGGCCCAACCCAAAUUCACUAAGGGCACGUUUGGUUCGCUGUAUUGGAAUAGAGGCGUAAUGUAAUAGAGGCGUAAUGGAAUAGAGACGUAAUAGCAAAUCAAUUGUUUGGUUGAAUGUAAUGGAAUAGAGGCGUAAUAGUAUUCUUAUAUUUGGUUGAAUGGAAUAGAGUUGUAAUAGCAUAAGGAAAAAAGUUAAAAUGACUAGAAUACCCUUAGCAGAAAUUUGUUUAGAUAAAUGAUUAUUGUUAUUGUUAUUAAAUUUUAAUAAGAUUAUUAAUAUCAGUAAUAAAUAAUUUAAUCAUAUUUUAACAUAAUUAUUAUUAAAUAUAAUUUAAUAAAAAUAUAUAAUUUAAUAAAAUUCUUAAUAUUAAAUAUUCUUAAUAUUAAAUUACUAAAAUCAUAAUAUAUAAUACUAUAAAAUAUAAUUUAACAUAAUUAUUAUUAAAUAUAAUUUAAUAAAAUUCUCAAUAUUAAAUAUAUUCUUAUAUGAAUUUACUAAAAUCAUAAUAUAUAAUACUAUAAAAUAUAAUUUAAAAUAAUUAUUAUUAAAUAUAAUUUAAUAAAAAUAUAUAAUUUAAUCUAAAGUUUGAAUGUGUAUUUACCUAGCAAAAAUCAAUGAACUCUCGUGUAACUAUAACCUUAAUAAUAUAUGAUGUAUAAUUAAUAUUUCGUGACUAAUUAAUAGCAUAGAGAUAAAUAUAGUAAUGACGAAUUUAUAGUAUACGAUUAAAAUGCUAAUAAUUUAUAGUAUACAAUUAAAAUAUUAUAAAUAAAAUAAUAGUAAAUGAUAUAUAAGAUAAAUUAACAUAUAAAUAAUUCAGAUAUGUAAAGGAUAUGGCUGAAUAUGGUUGCUCCAAUAAUAAAGGAUAUAUAAUAUAUCAUGGUGUUGUUUUGUUUAGAUAGUUCGGUAACUUAGGAGGGUAUGUAUGAAGAACACAAGUUGAUGCAGAUAGAAAGACGACAAUAUUACAUGAUUACAAUAUGAUAUAGUAUAUAUAUAUAAUUUAUGGAUUCCUUGCAAUCACGUGGGUUCUCUAGCCAUUUUAUUUAGCAUAUCCAGUGAUAUUAAGAUCCAGAAUUAUAAUACAACUAAAAUCUGUGCACACUUAUGGAUGAUCCAACAAAGCCUCAGUUGGCUUUAGGUUCCAAAUCUUGCAACCCACAAACCAUAUUUGCUGGCACUGCAACAUCAAUCAUCUUAGGAUAUGCCAAGUUAAGAUCUGUUGCACCAACAAAAACAGAGGAGAAAUUGGAAGGCGAUCCGAAAAAACCCAAGGAUGCUUUUUCUUUUCUUUUUUUUUUAUAAUCUUUAUAGACUGGUUAUAUUGAGCAUCAACUUACUUUCCAUGAUGUUUUUGAAAGUCUCUUACAAAAAGGGUAUUCAACAAAUAAUAUAAUCAGACAUAUUGAUAGGACAAAUUGAAACUAGUAUUCUAUGAUCAUAAUAAAGAGUAAUCUUUAAUCAAAUGCGUGAAGGUAUUGAGAUGUCAUGCUUUUUCAUGAUUUCCUGUUUUACCAUGGCGAUGUUCAUUGGAAUAGUCCCAUCCAAGAGAAUCAAACCAAUGCUCAGCAAGAAAUGUUCAAUGCAUAUGUAAUUUUAAUUACAGAAGUUAUAUGCAGCUUAUAUGAGUUCAAGAUCAUAAAAUACUUCAUGGACAAAAGGAAACCCUUUCUUAUCACUGAAAUGAAAAUAGGCACUCUUAAUUUUCUAUUGUCAAAAGUAGCAAGCCAUUUUCCAAAGAAAAGGGAAGAUGGAUGGUUCCAGAAAGAAUACCUCAUCCUUUGUCAAGUGUGGAUUAUAUAGCAUCUCCUCUCCCACAGUGGUUACCUAUAAUCAAUGAGGUUUAUAAAAUCGAGCAAUCAUUUAUAUAUGUAAGAAAUGAUAGGAAUAAAGUUUUAUAUCUUACUGAGAAUCCUUUGUAGUCAUGAGCUGGAUAUAGCAAUGUCUCUUUCGGUAAUGUAAAAAUCUGGAUCCAUGAAACAAAUAAGUCCAUAAAUUUUAUUCAAAUUUUGACAAUUACAAUAAAAUUUUGAGAACUCAAAGAAUGUGACCAUAAAAAGUCCCCUGUCCUUACCUGUGAAUGCACUGACUUGUAGAGUUGCUGUGAACUUCCACCCUGCAAAAUGCAUUAAUCAGUGCUAGUCAAUGGCUACUGAAUGUGGGAGCAUUAGAGAAAAUUAUCUUAAAAACUUAAGUAUAACAAAAUUAGACAAUGACAUCCAGAUGGAAAGAAAUUGCCAGCAUAUAAGACCAGCAUUUAUGUACUCACGACUGAAAAUCCUUUGCAAAAAGUAUAGCCCUGAUAGUUCAAACUUUUACUUCAAGGAUGAUUUAAUUACUGAUUAGUUUGCCAUGAGGCUUGUGAAUGACAAACACUUUAUGUGCAACCACAGUAACAAGGUAAGCACCAAUAAGUAGAAGACUAGACGAAUAGGUAACCAAGAGUUAGAGCUAAAACAGACAAACAGAGCUACUAUCCAAUGAGCUAAAACAUACAAACAGAGGUAUAUUUUAAUAAUGAAAAUAAUCGAUUGCCUUAAACACCAUAUAGUGUUCCAAUCAAUCAAAUUAUAGCAGGCAUUAAAACCUUUCCCUUUCGUUAAUUCACAACUAUUAGCUUCAUUAAUCAAAUCCUAUGUACAGUUGAUCGAUUGAAAGUGUAACAUUUCAAAGACGAAAUUUAAACGCAAAACUGGUUAACAUUGAAAUUACAUGUAAAUAUAACCUAAAAAAUCAAAAAAUUAAUCAUAUUUUCAGAUUUCAGGCCGAAAUGGAAUGAAAUGAAAGGUAAAUCCAUUUUUUCCCCAAAAAAACAAAAAUAAAGAAAUAAUAUUUCAAGAACAGAUCAUUAAAUUCAUGGUAUAUAUAAAGAAAUUUAAUUGAAAUCAAAGGAAUAGAAGAAGGGAAAAGCGUACUUGGAACCAUUGCUGCUACUCUCUGUUACUCUGUUACCUCAUACGAUUCGUUAAAGGGUUGUUAGGGUUUGUUAAAAGGUUGGUCAGGAUAGAAGCAUGAAAAGGAGGGAGAAGGUUGGAAGGAAAUGGGAAGAAAAAUGAAAAAAAGAAGAAGAUGCUGCAACGGCUUGGAGGGUAAAAGAGGACCGAUUAGGUAAUCCUUUCUUUUGGAAGGGAUUACAAAUCGGCGCUGCAUAAGGGAAAAUGGGGAAUCAGUGCGCUGCGUAAUAGGCCCGUAUUAAGGCAAUACAGCCAACCAAACAUGGUAAUCAGUGGGGCCACGAAUUAGGGGUGUAUUGGCUAAUCCAAUACACCCAACCAAACAUGCUCUAAAGGACAAAAAAAUUUGAUUUUUUAAAUAUUAUUUUCUCUCUAUUUUGCUAUCAUUUUACUAUUAUGUUGCUACUAUGUUAUUGUUAUUUUUGAAUAUUGUAUAAAACUUAUUUUAUUGUUAAUUUUGUUAUUAUUUUAAAGACAUUUGUUAAUUUUGUUAUUAUUUUAGAGACAUUUGUUUGUUAAGUUGCAUCUAUCUUAGUGUUAUUUAAGUAUACAUAUUUUUUAAAAUUUAUUUUCAAUUUAUUGGGAAAUAUUUAUUUUGAUGUUUUUAGUAUUUUGGAUGUAUUAUAUAUAUUAAAAUUAUAUAAAAAUUAAUAUGGCCGAGCCAGGUCAGGCCCAGAUUUUAGCAUUUUUAUUCAGGUCGGGCUUGAGCAAAAUUUUAAGCCCAUUUUUUGGGCCAAACCAGGCCUGGGCUUAGCAAAUGGGCCUAAAUUUUUAGUCAAGCUCGACCUAAACCCGAUCCGGCCCAUGCUCACCUCUAGAUCAGAGCUGCCCUCGCUUUGCAUUUCUUUGAGAUUCAGUCUUAUCUACUGUUGAUUGCCCACUCAAUGGAGGGUUGAGUAGAAAGAUUUGGUGAAGCAAGCUAAGCUAUCAAUCAAGGUUGGAGAAAGCUUAGGAGGUCACAAUGCAUAAUUAUUUAAAUGUAAUUCUAAUAUUUAAAUAAAAUUUAUUAAUAUAGUAUUAACAAGCCCUAAAUGUAAUGAUUAUAUACUAUUACAUUUUUAAGAAGAGAAAACAUGUUUGAACCUUAAAAACAUCAUUAUUAAAAAUGAUAAUUACAAAUUUUAAAAUAUAAAAAAUAUAAUUAAAAAUUAAUUUUAAACCCGAGCUGGAUAAAAUUCUAAUUUUAGAUAACGAUACUAAUAAGAAAUCAAUAUUAAAAUGAAAAUGAAAAGUAAUUUAAUAUAAUUUUUGAGUCUUGGGCAAAGGCACUCAAUGAAUGCUUGGAAAGAAAUAAUGCAACUUGGUGAUAGCUUUUGUUGGAGUAAUAUGCUCUUAUUAUAGUUUUAUGUUUUUAUCUUGCAAAAACAACAUAUUGGAGUUUUCGGCAUGAUUUUUUCUUAAUACUUUACAUGAAAAAUAAUAAUGGGACUUAAAUUGCUACAAUAUUACAACACAAAGUUACAAUAAGAGCUUAUAACUCAACAAAGGCUAUCAAUAAAUAAUCUCAGGCAAGCUAAAGAGAAAUGUUGAGAAUACCACCCGAAUAGUGACUGACUUUAAAAGUUGAAAACCCGAAGCUAUAUUAUCUCAAACGAAAUCAAACCAUAAACAUUAAAAUUUUCAAGUCUACUAGUUACUGUAAAAAAUUCAGCUCCAACAGACACCAAAUGAGCCUUUGAUCGAAGAAAGUACGAAAAAUAGUCUAGGUAAACCAAGCUUCCAAACUUACUUAUCUUAUCUUUAAUUUGCAGUGAAAUUCAAAAUUAAGAUUUUGUUUAUUUCACUUGGAACAACUUUCAAAAAAUUAUUUUUGAAAAAUGAAUUGGUUUUUCGAAAUAGAUGAUAUUUUAUUGUGUCAAAAUUUUAUUCAUUGUAGGAAAACUUUUUUUAAAUCAUUUUCUUAGAGUUAUUUUUAGUUAAAUAAACAUAACAUAAAUAUAUUUGUUACAAAAAAUUAUACUAGUAUUUUCUUUUGACAAUUAAAAUUUAUUUUAUGGUAAGACAAUAUUUUAUAAUAAUUAAUAUCAUAUAUAUACGUAAUAAAAAUCAUGUUUAAUUAAAAUUUAAUUAAAAUUAGAUGUAUUAAUAAAGCUACUCCUCCACAACCCGCAUCCGCAACAGCACCAGCACCAGCACCAGCACCAGCAUCAGCACCAUGGGACAACUAUUGGGUUUCCUCCACCUGCCUCUAUCGCUCCUCCUCAGUAUUACCCCCAAGCCUACCAGACCGUGCCGGGUAUUCUACAAAUAUGAAAAAACCUUCUUCUCUUUUUAUUAGCUUAUCGAAAUGAAGGAUUUUGAGAUUUGGGCUUUUGUUAGAUGGAUGGUUAAUGAUAUUUUUUAGAUGAAAGAUACAAGUUUUUUAAUGUUUUAGAAGAAAAGGUGUUUAAAUAUUAGGAGUUUUUUAGCAGAGAAAGAAGAUAAAUAAAUGCAUAGAGAUACAUUAGCAAUAUUAUUUGGAUUUGGUUGUCUAAUGUAAUGAAGAAUUUUUUAAGGGUGACCUGAGUAGGUGUGGCAAGAUUCAAAGUUUUUUCUAUUAUAGCAGAUAUAUAUAUAUUAAUGGUUUAAGAAGACUAGAAGUCGGUUUCAAAGGAAGAUGAGAAAUAAAAGCAUUUAUAUAUAUGAUAUGUCAUUAAUUCAUAAACCAAAUAUAUAAAGUAUGUAAAAGUGUCAGGGGUUAAUCAUGGUGUUUUGACAAUCCGGUAACCUUCAACUUGAAGAAAACCUUAGGUUUCAAAAAUUUAUGUGAAGAGUUAGAAUGGUAUGCUUCAUGGAUCUGAAUAACUAGAACAGUGUAAGAGUGGUAUAUUGUGUCAAGUUUGGUUUCUUGUAUAUAAUUGUAUCGAAAACAAUGUUACAUGAGUUAAAAUGAAUGUUCAUCCAAUUUAACAAAGCCUGCAUUAUGUUGAUCAAAAUUUUUAAUUCAUGUUGAGGUUUCUUCCGUGAUAUCUUUGAUGUCAAGGUUAUGAUGUUGCUGAAGGGACACCUGUAAGAGAUAAGCCACCGUGCUGUGGCAUUGGAUUCGGAUGGUUCUUGUAAGUGUACAUAGUUUUCUUUGUUUUUAAAGAGUUCUUUACAUAUGAAGUAAAACAAGUAGCGACUUGAUGGAUAUGUCAUUAAGCUUUAACUUAAGCAAAUCAUUUUCCUUCAUCUCUAAUUGCCAUUUCUUUAAAAGAAAAAGAGGAAGUUUUGUAGUUUACAGUUUGGACAAAUGGAAGUUAAUAUAAUGCACUAUUUGGAUGGACUAUGGAGAUAUCCAAUCAUAUUGGAUGAGUUAUAAGAAACCUGUGAGUUCAUAUUGGGUUUACUUUAUAUCAUAAUUAGAUUGUUGAGCUGGCUGUCAUACUUAGAUGGUAUUUCACGUUGCUACUUGUUAAACUAUACCACUUUCACAUUCAUACGUGAAAUGGCUGGGAUUUAGUGCCAUUCUACUUAGCAGCCUCGUGUAAUACACAGGUGAAAUGUUUAUGUCUUCAUGUCACCUUAAAGUUCCCAUUUCCAUGACGGUAUUGUUAAGUAAAGACUGGUACAUACCCCAAAAUACGGAAAUUGUUUUGGAUGUAUACUAUACUUUACCAUGCAUGAUUUUUUACAAGUUUGCAUGGUAUUUUAUCAUUAUAUUGGUCUUUAUUUUCUAUACUCGCAGCUUCCAUUAAUAUAUUUUUAUGAAUUUUAUCAUUAUGCUGGUUUGAAGGUUCAUCAUUGGUUUCUUCAUUGGGGGCCAUCCCUGGUAUAUUGGAUUCUUUGUUUUACUUUGUGCAAGGAUAGACGACAGAGAGAAAGCAGGAUAUAUUGCAUGCACAAUUGCCGUGAGUAUCUUUUCUAUCAUUAUUUUUUUCUUUUCCAAUUUUAUGAAAGCCAUCCUUCCUGCCUUGUAUUGAUCAUCAAUUUAACCAUUAUAUAUAUGUAUCUUAUGUAUUUGUACCAUGCUUUAUCUUCAAUGCAAAUAUAAGUUAAACUACAAAGAUUGGAUUGUUAAAAAAAGUUUAAAAUGUUAAAAAAAUUGAAAAUUUUGAUUUUGUAAGAAUGAUAGAAAACCAAGGCCAGUGCUUGCAUAUGUUAUCUACUACAUGCACAAUCGGGUCGAUGUCUGUAUAUGUUUCAUGUUUAGAAAUCGUGUUCAAUUGGGUUACGAUAUGUACAAUUGAAGUGUCAAUUUAUAAUUUCCUUAUCAAGAUUACACAUUUUUUUGUUAAUAUUCGGAAUCACUCAAUGGUUAUAAACCCUGAUUGGAUACUGUCCACAAAGUCUAGUUGGAACAUCCCUUGUAUUCUUUGUCCUUUCUAAGAACUUUCCUUUCCAUCAUUCUCGCUUCUGUUUUUUUUUUCUUCCCUCUACUUUAAGUCAUUAUCUAACGUAGAUAUCCCUUGUAUUCUUUGUCCUUUCUAUGGCAAUCGAGUCAAUUGAUGGCAAGCCAAAAAAACAAAAAGAGCAGCUAUCCUGUCUUACUCGAUUGCCAUCCCUCCUGUUAAACACCAUUAAGAAAAGGAAAAUUUUAGUUAAGCUUUAAAACAGCCAUGUUUUAACGAUGUUGGUGAUGGUGCUUGUGCAGGCCCUUCUUGCUACAAUUACAAUUAUUCUUAGUGCAACAAUUAAAGCUGGUGGGUGAUAAAGCACACCUCUUUUGACUGAGAGAUGUAUAGGUUCCCAAAUAAUAUGUAUAUGCUCCCCCCCCUCCCUUUAUUUUAUUUUAUUUCCAGUAAGUUAUUGUUUAUGAUAAUUUGCAACAAAUGUUUUUGUCAUUAUUUUGUUGGUGAAUGAUAAUAAGAUUAAGCUUUACUUUCUUAAGCUCCAAUUCCUUGGACGUUGGUGAUUUUUUUAUUAUAGUUGAGUCAUUGUAUGGUAUUAAUAUAAUUUAUGUCGCUUAAAAUUUAUAACUAAAAAUAUAAAAUUUAAAUUUUACUUCAAUUUAUUUGUAUUUAUAAAUGGUUAAUUCAAACUUAUUUUUUUCCUCAUUAUAUUUUAUAUUUAAAUUAACAUUUAAACUAUUUUUCAUUAGCAAUGUUGUUAAGAAUUAUAUUUUUUAGCACCAACAUCAAACUUACUAAAAUUAAAUUUUUAACUAUUUAAAAAAAAUAUUUUUAGCUAUUUAUCAUCAUAGAGAAAAAAAGGUGACGUCACCACGCCUCAUGCUUCGACACCACAAACUAGACUCUCAUCACCCGUAUUUAUCAUCGAUUCAAAUUCCAGAACUACCUAAAAAUAUAUCUUCAAACUUCCUCUGGUUAAGUUCAUUGAUAGUCAACUUACUAUCAUUUCUAAAAAAAAAACAAAUAAAUUGGUUAAUAGUAAUCUCAAUGAUUCAAUUUUAUUCUUACCAGUAUCUGUCCUUUAGAAAGGGGCUUAUAAAAGGGGUAGAGGUGAGUAAACUUGAGCUUCAGCUUUCCACAAACACCUUAAUUUGAAGACACAGUUCUCUCAUACUAAAAAAGACAUGGAAGUUUACCUUGUAAUUAGAGAUUUGGUUUCAUUGCUUGUUGUUGGGUUAUUAAUGAUAUGGGGAUGCAGAACUUUAAACUGGGUAUGGCUGGCCCCAAAAAGGCUCGAAAGCUGCUUGAGACAACAGGGUUUUGCAGGGAAUCCUUACAGGUUCCUUUCUGGUGACAUAAAAGAGCUCUCAACUAUGAGCAGACAAACAAGAGCCAAACCUAUGCCUCUUAGUGAUGAUAUUGGGCCUUAUGUUGUUCCUUUUCAACAUCAAACUGCUAACCAGUAUGGUAUGUUUUUUUUGUUUAAUCUGCAAUUUAUGAUAAUUCUUUGUUAUUUAUGUAUGGAAUUUAUUGGGAGGAAAUGCAGGAAAGAAUUCAUUUACGUGGUUUGGUCCAAGACCAAGGGUGAACAUUACGGACCCUGAAAAAAUAAGAGAAAUACUUAACAAAUUUAAUGACUUCCAGAAGAUACAUACCAAUCCACUGCUUAAUUUGCUUGUAAGCGGCCUUGCUAACCUCGACGGAGACCGAUGGAGCAAGCGUAGAAAAAUCAUAAACCCUGCAUUUCAUCAAGAUAAGUUGAAGGUAUAGAAUAGUGAUGGGUAAUCAGACUUUACAGAAAACAUCAUACUUAAACCUAUGCUUUUCUGAUUUAGAAAUAAUUGGAUGCAGAAUAUGUUGCCAGCAUUUUAUCAAAGUUGUAGUGACAUGUUAAGCAAAUGGGAGAAGAUGGUGUGUACAAAAGGAUACAGUGAGUUAGAUGUGUGGCCUUAUCUCGUAGAUUUGACAAGAGAUGUGAUUUCCCGAUCUGCUUUUGGAAGCAGCUUCGAAGAAGGCAAACGAAUUUUCCAAUUACUAGAGGACCAACUCGUUCACAUAAUCAAAUUAAUACAAACUGUUUACAUUCCAGGAUGGAGGUAACCGUCAACUUAAUUUACUUGAAAAAGGUUGCAAAUGUUGGAAUUCGCUAAAUUCGUGUUUGUUUUCUUGAAGGUUUUUGCCAACGAAGACAAACAGGGAGAUGAAGAUGAAACACAGGGACAUAAAAGAGUUGCUUAUGGAAAUGAUAAAGAGAAGGGAGAAGGCAAUUAAAGCAGGGGAAGAGAGCAAUGAGGACUUGUUGGACAUACUUGUGGAAUCCAAUAUCAGAGAAAUGGAAGCAAAGAAUAUUGGGAUGAGCAUUGAGGAUGUGAUUGAGGAAUGCAAGCUGUUUUACUUAGCUGGCCAAGAGACCACUUCGGUCUUACUGGUGUGGACUAUGGUUUUAUUAGCAAGGUAUCCCGAUUGGCAAAGUAAAGCAAGAGAGGAGGUUUUGCAUGUUUUGGGUGACAGUAAACCUGACGCUGAUGGCCUUAAUCGUCUCAAAGUUGUAAGUCCCUAGCAUGUCUUUUGAAGGUCCGAUCAAUGAGGUCGACAACUCAAAAACUUUGUUUCUUUUUUCGCUAAUUCUACAGGUAACAAUGAUAUUGUACGAGGUUCUAAGGCUGUACCCACCGGUGGUUGAGCUAGAACGUUCCGUUCCAAAAGAAAUAAAACUGGGGAAUUUGUUGUUACCAGUAGGAACAGAAGUUUCGGUUCCGAUCCUGCUGAUCCACCAUGACAAAGAUCUUUGGGGCGAUGACGCACGGGAAUUUAAGCCAGAGCGGUUCGCGGAAGGGGUUUCCAAAGCAACAAAGAGUCAAGUCACGUUUCUGCCAUUCGGAUGGGGUCCUAGGAUCUGUAUUGGCCAAAAUUUUGCUAUGAUGGAAGCCAAAAUGGCGAUGGCUAUGAUUCUCCAACGCUUCUGGUUCGAGCUUUCCCCUUCCUAUGCUCACUCUCCUUACGGCAGGGCAACUCUUCGUCCACAGCAUGGUGCACAGAUAAUUUUACAUAAACUUGGCUGUAAUUGAAUUGUUAUGUAAACAAAUCUUUGUGAAAACAUAGCGUUUUAGUUUAUCGUCAAAGUCCGGUGUCUGUAAUGGUACAAAUUCGAUGCAUGAAUAGUAAAGUUUGAGAUGUUUGGUGAAGUCCGAAAUAAUAUGCAGAAAUUGAGUGUGGUAAUUAUCAAUCAAAUAAUUCGGUACAAAGACUUACAUGGAAAUUAAAGCAGGGGGAGUUGAAAAUGACUACUCUGCUUUGGGCAUCAAUUUAGAAAGAUUUAAAGUACAAAUGUGUUAUUAGUUAAGGGAUUUGUUUUAAAGAGGGAAUGACAAUUAAACCUCAUGGUUGAUUUGUGGAAGGGAACCGAUGAUGGGAUGAUUAUUCUUAGUGGUAAAAAAAACUAUUGUGGAGGUUAUUAUACUUGUUAUCAUCGGCUUAAAAUUCGAAUGGGUUCAAGUCGGAUUAUAUCGAGCUUGUAAGAUGAGUUCACGGAUCAAAUUUGCAUAAUAAAAAUACUUAAAUGAAAAAAAUUUCUAUUUUAGAGGGACCAGAGCCCCUACCAAUUCCCGGCUCAGCUACUAAACAAUACCCAUAUCAUAUAAAUAAAUACCACCAUAAAAAAAACUCAAAGAAAAACACUGACAAAUGAUAAAUAGAUAGAUGUUGGAUAAGUGUCCAAAAUAUGAUUUAAGUGAAGAUACAUGGGGUAGGUGUCACGGAAAUGUGAAUACAAGAAUACUACUAAUGGGAUGUGUACAGUUGAAUGUAGGGAGCAAAAAGAGGAGUGAAUCAUUUUGGUAACAUUGGGACAAGAAACAUAAUGAACAAAAUGGAAGGAGAGGAAGCUAGUAAAAGAAAUUUUUUGGGUCAUAUAAUUUGUUUGGCAUAUAUUUUUAUAAUUUUUAAAUAUCAUUUUGGACUUGAAUUAUAAUUUUUUUAUAUAUUAUCUUAAAAUUGUAUAAAUUUUAAGGAGUUAAAACAAAAUUAUUCUAUUUUUAGAUGGUUAAAGUAGAGAUGAUAAUGGGUUGAGCUAUUCGGCCCAGCCUGACGAUCCACCCGAAAAAUAGGAAGGUUUGGGUAAAAAUAUAGGCUUGAAAUAUGAAUUUGAGCAAAAAAAGAGGCCCGUUUAGAAAAUGGGCCGAGCCUCGGGUAAAACCUUUUGGGUCUAGACCUGACCUAAAUUAUAUAUUAAAUAUAUAUAUUUUUAUUUUUAAUCAAAUAUACUUUUGUUUUAUUAUUAAUUUGGUUAUUAUUUUAGUUCUAAUUUGUUUCAAUUUUAAUAUAACUACUUUUUAUUAUAUUUUCAAUUUGUGCAUUGUUUUAAGAAUUAUUUUAGUCUCAUUAUUUAUUUAUUUUUUAUUUUAAUAUUUGUUUUAAAAUUUUUUAUUUAUUGAAAUAAGCUAAAAAAAUUAAUAUGGGUUGGACCAGACCGGGCUCGGGCCUAGUAAUUUUCUUUUGGGCCGGACUUAAACAAAUUUUUAAGCCCAUAUUUUGAAUUGGGUCCUACACUAGAAAAUGGACCUAAAAUUUUGUAUUACCUUUAGGUCAGAGCUAUCCUCGUUUUGCAUUUCUUUGAGAUUCAGCCUUAUUUACUUUUGAUUGCCCACUCAAUAGAGGGUUGAGUAGAAAUAUUUGGUGAAGCAAGCUAAGCUAUCAAUCAAGGUGUGCAUAAUUAUUUAAAUGUAAUUCUAAUAUUAAAAUAAAAUUUUUAUUAAUAUAGUAUCAACAAGCAUUAAAUGUAAUCAUCAUAUACUAUUAAAUUUUCAAUAAGAGAAAACAAGCUUGAACUUUAAAAACGAUGUUACUAAAAACAUUAUCACAAAUCUUGAAAUAUAAAAAAUACUUUUUAAUAUAAUAAAAAAAUAAUUUUAAAACCGAGAUGAAUAAAAUUCUAAUUUUAAUUAAUGAUACCAACAACAAAUCAAUAUUUAAAUUAAAAUUUAUCUUAAUUUAAUAUAAUAAAAUUGGACUUGAAUAUUGAAUUUUUGAGUCUUGGGCAAAGUAGAGGUGCUCAUGGGCCGGGUUGGGUCGGGUUUGGGAAAAAUUUCGGCCCGCAUCCUAGGCUCGGGCUCGGCCCGACCCAAAUAUGGGCCUAAAAUUUUGUCUAGGCCUAGCCCGGCCCGGCCCAACUCAUUUUUUUUAAUAAACACCAAAAAUUUAUUUUGAAAAUAAAAAAAUAAAAAAAGUAUUUUAAAAAUAUUUUAAAAUUUUUAAAAAAUAUAUAUAUUUAUUAUAUAUUCGGGCCGGGCCAGGCCCGAGCCAAAAAAGUGGCGCCCAAGGCCCGGCCUGUUUUCUAAACGGGACUCAUUUUUUACCCAAACCCAUAUUUCGGGCCUAUAUUUCUACCCGAAUCUCUCAUAUUUAGGGCGAACCGUCGGGCCGGACCGGGCCGCCCGGCCAUGAACACCUCUAGGACAAAGUCACUCAAUGAAUGCAUGGAAAGAAAUAAUGCAACUUGGUGAUAGCUUUUGUUGGAGUUAUAUGCUUUUUUUUUACGUAGUGGAACUUUCGGUGGAUUUUCAAGUUUCAUGAACUUUAUACUCUAUGCUUUACGUGAAAAAAAAAAUUCAUUGGACUUAAAAGUCUACCAAAAGUUUCACUAAAAAAAAAACCAUUGCUACAAGAUUACAACAUAAAGUUACAAUAAGAGCUUAUAACUCAACAAAGGCUAUCAAUAAAUAAUCUCAAACAAAUUAAAGAGAAAUGUUGAGAGUACCACUCGAAUAGUGAUUAACUUUAAAAAUUGAAAACCCAAAGUUAUAAUAUCCCAAACGAAAUCAAACCAUAAACAUUAAAUUUUUCGAGUCUACUAGAUACUGCAAAAAAUUCAGCUCCAACAGACACCAAAUGAACCUAUGAUCGAAGAAAAUACGAAAACUAGUCUAGCUAAAUCAAGCUGCCAAACUUACUUUUUAUCUUAUCUUUAAUUUGCUGUGAAAUUCAAAACUAAGGUUUUGUACUUAGAACAACUUUCAAAAAGUUAAUUUUGAAAAAUGGAUUGAAUUUUCAAAAUAGAUGAUAUUUUAUUGUGUUAAAAUUUUAUUCGUUGUUUGAAAAAAAAUUUAAAUCAUUUUCUUAGAAUUAUUUUUAGUGAAACAAACAUAUCAUAAAUAUAUUUGUUAUAAAAUAUUUAUAUUAAUAUUUUCUUUUAACAAUUAAAAUAUAUUUUGUGAUAAGGUAUAUUUUAUAAUAAUUAAUAUCAUAUAUACUUAAUAAUAAAUCAUGUCUAAUUAAAAUUUAAUUUCAAUUAAAUAUAUUAAUAAAGCUACAUAUAAUCAUAUUUUAUAUAAUAAAAAUAUUAAUAUAAAUAUUUUUUUAAUAAUAUAUUAAAGAAUAUUUAAAAUUUAAAUUUAUUAUUACUAAGAUUAAUUAUUAAAAUAAAAAUGUAAUGUUAAAUAAUUUAUCCAAUGAUAAGUUAUAUUAAUAAUUUAUUAUAUUAUUAAAUAUAAAUAAUUAAAUAUGUAUGUUUAAUAAUAUUAUGUUAUAAUAUUUAUUAUUAAUAUUUUAAUAUUUUUAAACAACCAUGUUUUAAAGAUGGUGGUGAUGGUGAUGGUGCAGGCCCCCUUGUUACAAUUACAAUAUUUUUAAGUGGGAUGCAUGUAAUAUAUUGUUAGGGUUUUAGAGUGUGUGGUCUUUAAAAGGGUUAAAUUAUAUAUUUAUAUAAUAUGAUUAUUGUUUAUAAAUAUAAUAUUGUAGAUAAACUUUUAUGCAUGUCAAUAUGUAUCCUACUCUGGGGUUAAUAUGUAUUUUUAGAUAUGGAUUCACCUAUAUAAUAGUAUGAAUCCAUCAUGCGGUCUCAUGAAAUAUACAAACACAUAUCGUGCGAACACAAAGUACGAACAAUAAAAAGUACAAAUCAAGACCAAUUGAGUAAUUGAAUAGCAGAUAGGUAAUAAUGACUAUCCCCUCUUGUUUGAAUUUAUUUUAUUUCCAGUGAGUUAUCGUUUAUGAUAAAUUUACAACAAAUGUUUUUAUCAUUAUUUUGUUGGUAAAUGAUAAUAAGAUUAAACUUUACUUUCUUAAGCUCCUUCAAUUCUUUGGACGUUAGCAAGUAAACUUGAGCUUCAGCAUUCCACAAACACCUUAAUUUGAAGACACAGUUCUCCCAUACUAAAAACAACAUGGACGUUUACCUUGUAAUUAGAGAUUUGGGCUCAUUGUUAGGUUAUUAAUGAUACGGGGAUGGAGAGCUUUAAACUGGGUAUGGCUGGCCCCAAAGAGGCUCGAAACGUGCUUGAGACUAGAGGUCCAGGCAAAUUUUUAGGCCCAUUUUUUAGGCCUGGACUGGGCCCGACUCGAAAUAUGAGCUUAAAAAUUUGUCUAAGUUCGGUCCAAAAGAAAAUUGUUAAGCCUAAGCCCGGCCCAUAUUAAAUUUUACAACACCAAAAAACUAUAUAUUUAAUAUAUAUAUUUGAUUAAAAAGUAUAUUUAAUUAAAAAUAAAAAUAUAUAUUUAAUAUAUAAUUCGGGCCGGGCCGAACUCGGGCCAAAAAAGUUUUACUCGGGGCUGGUCCGUUUUCUAAACAGACCUCGUUUUUUUGUCAAAAUCCAUAUUUUAGGCUUAUAUUUUUACCCGAAACUUCCUAUUUUUCGGGUGAACCGUCAGGCCGGACUAGGUAGCCCAACCAAUGAUCACCUCUACUUGAGACAACAGGGUUUUGCAGGGAAUUCUUACAGGUUCGUUUCUGGCGACAUAAAAGAGCUCUUCACUAUAAGCAUACAAACAAGAGCCAAACCUAUGCCUCUUAGUGAUGAUAUUGGGCCUUAUGUUGUUCCUUUUCAACAUCAAACCGUCAAUCAGUAUGGUAUGUUUUUUAAUUUAAUCUGCAAUUUAUGAUAAUUCUUUGCUAUUUAUGUAUGGAAUUUAUUGGGAGGAAAUGCUGGGAAGAAUUCAUUUACGUGGAUUGGUCCAAGAUCAAGGGUGAACAUUACGGACCCGGAAAAAUAAGAGAAAUACUUAACAAAUUUAAUGACUUCCAGAAGGUACGUACCAAUCCACUGCUUAAUUUGCUUGUAAGCGGCCUUGUUAACCUCGAAGGAGACCGAUGGAGCAAGCAUAGAAAAAUCAUAACCCUUCAUUUCAUCAAGAUAAGUUGAAGGUAUAGAAUAGUGAUGGGUACUUAGACUUAAUUUACAGAAAACAUCAUACUUAAAUCUAUGCUUUUCUGAUUUAGAAAUGAUUGGAUGCAGAAUAUGUUGCCAGCAUUUUAUCAAAGUUGUUGUGACAUGUUAAGCAAAUGGGAGAAGAUGGUGUGUACAGAAGGAUACAGUGAGUUAGAUGUGUGGCCUUAUCUUGUAGAUUUGACAAGAGAUGUGAUUUCCCGAUCUGCUUUUGGAAGCAGCUUCGAAGAAGGCAGACGAAUUUUCCAAUUACUAGAGGACCAACUCGUUCUCACAAUCAAAUUAAUACAAACUGUUUACAUUCCAGGAUGGAGGUAACCCUCAACUUAAUUUACUUGAAAAAGGUUGCAAAUGUUGGAAUUGGCUAAAUUCGUGUUUGUUUUCUUGAAGGUUUUUGCCAACAAAGACAAACAGGGAGAUGAAGAUGAAACACAGACAUAAAAGAGUCGCUUAGGGAAAUGAUAAAGAGAAGGGAGAAGGCAAUUAAAGCAGGGGAAGAGAGCAAUGAGGACUUGUUGGACAUACUUGUGGAAUCCAAUAUCAGAGAAAUGGAAGCAAAGAAAAAGGGGAUGAGCAUUGAGGAUGUGAUUGAGGAAUGCAAGCUGUUUUACUUUGCUGGCCAGGAGACCACUUCGGUCUUGCUGGUGUGGACUAUGGUUUUAUUAGCAAGGUAUCCCGAUUGGCAAAGUAAAGCAAGAGAGGAGGUUUUGCAUGUUUUGGGUGACAGUAAACCUGAUGCUGAUGGCCUUAAUCGUCUCAAAGUUGUAAGUCCCUAGCAUGUCUCUUGAAGGUCCGAUCUCUGAGGUCGACAACUCAAAAACUUGGUUUCUUUGUUUCGCUAAUUCUACAGUUAACAAUGAUAUUGUACGAGGUUCUAAGGCUGUACCCACCAGUGAUUGAGCUAGGACGUUCCGUUCCAAAAGAAAUAAAACUGGGAAAUUUGUUGUUACCAGCAGGAACAGACGUUUCGGUUCCAAUCCUGCAGAUCCACCAUGACAAAGAUCUUUAGGGCGACGACGCACGGGAAUUUAAGCCACAGCGGUUCACGGAAGGGGUUUCCUAAGCAACAAAGAGUCAAGUCACGUUUCUGCCAUUCGGAUGGGGUCCUAGGAUCUGCAUUGGCCAAAACUUUGCCAUGAUGGGAACCAAAAUGGCGAUGGCUAUGAUUCUCCAACGCUUCUGGUUCGAGCUUUCCUCUUCCUAUGCUUACUCUCCUUACAACAUGGCAACUCUUCGUCCACAGCAUGGUGCACAGAUAAUUUUACAAAAACUUGGCUGUAAUUGAAUUGUUAUGUAAACAAAUCUUUGUGAAAAUAUAGUGUUUUAGUGUAUCGUCAAAGUCUGCCUGUAAUGGUACAAUUCCGAUGCAUGAAUAGUAAAUCUUGAGAUGUUUGGUGAAGUCCGAAAUAAUAUGCAGAAAUUGAGUGUCUUGAAUGGAUGUAGUAUUUAAUGGUGGACAUAGUUGAGGGACUAAUGUGGUAAUUAUCAAACAAAUAAUUGCAUAUGGUACAAAGACUUGUAUGGAAAUUAGAGCAGGGCGAGUUGAAAAUUACUACUUUGCUUCGGGCAUCAAUUUAGAAAGAUUUAAAGUACAAAUGUAUUAUUAGUUUAAGGGAUUUGUUUUAAAGAAGGAAUGACAAUUAAACCUCAUGGUUGAUGUGUGGAAGGGAACCAAUGAUGGGAUGAUUACUCUUAGUGGUAAAAAAAAAAACUAUUAAGGUGGUUAUUAUAGUUGUUAUCACCGGCCCAAAAUUCGAAUAGGUUCAGGUCGGAUUAUAUUGAGCUUGUAGAUGAGUUUGCAUGAUAAUAGGUGUUCACAGAAAGAUAUCUAUAGUUUCCUACAAAGUCACAUGUGAGAUCGUGCAUUGGGACCGCAUAAAAAUGUUUUAUGUUUAGAAUAUGAUACGUGUCUAUGUGUAUGGAAUCUACCUAAUAUAUCAUAUUAAUUAAUAGUAUCAAUUGCGGAGCCAAAAAAUUAUUUCUGAGGGGUCAGAAUUAAAUUGUAUAUUUUUACAAAAAUAAAAAUUAAAUUUCACUAUUUUAAUAGUUUAUUUCUUUUUAAUUUUUAAAUGAUUAAAUUAAAUUUUUAUAAAUUUUUGGGAUCAAAGUACAAUUUUAUCAUUUCUAAUUUAAAAUUUUAUAAAAUAUAAAAAGUUUAUAUGAAAAGUUUUCUAUUUUAGAGUGGCCAAAGCCCCUGCCAACUUCCGACUCGAUCACUAAACAAUAUAAAUAAAUAAAUACCACCAUCUAAAAGACUCAAGAAAAACACUCAACGAUAAAUAGAUAGAUGUUGGGUAAAGAUACGUUUGGAUGGGCGGUGCGUUUACUUGCGGUUAGUAUAAAAAUAGCGGUGGCGGUUAGAUUAGAUACUAUAGCAACACUGUAGCGUAAGACAAAAAAUAAGCUAAACGUACUGCACUGCACUUAAUCGCCCAUCCAAACUCACCCUAAGUGUACAAAAUAUGAUUUAAGUGAAGAUACGUAGGGUAGGUGUCAUGGAAAUGUAAAAGACAAGAAUCCCACUAAUGUAUGGGAUGUGUACAGCUGAAUGUAGGGAGCAAAGAGGAGUGAAUCAUUUUGGUAACAUUUGGACAAGAAACAUAAUGAACAAAAUGAAAGGAGAGGAAGCUAGUAAAAGAUUUUUUUGAGUUAUAUAAUUUGUUUGGCAUAUAUUUUUAUAAUUUUUAAAUAUCAUUUUGGAGUUGAAUUAUAAUUUCUUUUUAUGUUUUAAAACAUAAUUAUUCUAUCUUCAAAGGGUUAGAGUAGAGGUGAGCAUGGGUCGGGCUACUCGGCCCGAAAUGUGAGAGAUUUGGGCAAAAAUAUAGGCUCAAAAAAUGGACUUGGACAAAAAAAUAUAAGACCCGUUGAAAAAUGGGCCGGGCAUUGGGUAAGGCAUUUUUGGCCCUGGGCCCGGCCCAAUCCUAAUUCACUAAAGGACAAAAAAAAUUUGAUUUUUAAAUAUUAUUUUCUUCCUAUUUUGCUACCAUUUUACUAUUAUGUUGCUACUAUUUUGUUGUUAUUUUUUGGAUAUUGUAUAAAACUUAUUUUAUUGUUAAUUUUGUUAUUAUUUUAAAGACAUUUGUUAAUUUUGUUAUUAUUUUAGAGACAUUUGCUUGUUAAGUUGUAUCUAUCUUAGUGUUAUUUAAGUGUACAUAUUUUUUAAAAUUUAUUUUCAAUUUAUUGGGAAAUAUUUAUUUUGAUGUUUUUAGUAUUUUGGAUGUAUUAUAUAUAUUAAAAUUAUAUAAAAAUUAAUAUGGCCGAGCCGAGUCAGGCCCAGAUUUUAGCAUUUUUAUUCAGGUCGGGCUUGAGCAAAAUUUUAAGCCCAUUUUUUGGGCCAAACCAGGCCUGGGCUUAGCAAAUGGGCCUAAAUUUUUAGUCAAGCCCGACCUAAACCCGAUCCGGCCCAUGCUCACCUCUAGAUCAGAGCUGCCCUCGCUUUGCAUUUCUUUGAGAUUCAGUCUUAUCUACUGUUGAUUGCCCACUCAAUGGAGGGUUGAGUAGAAAGAUUUGGUGAAGCAAGCUAAGCUAUCAAUCAAGGUUGGAGAAAGCUUAGGAGGUCACAAUGCAUAAUUAUUUAAAUGUAAUUCUAAUAUUUAAAUAAAAUUUAUUAAUAUAGUAUUAACAAGCCCUAAAUGUAAUGAGUAUAUACUAUUACAUUUUUAAGAAGAGAAAACAUGUUUGAACCUUAAAAACAUCAUUAUUAAAAAUGAUAAUUACAAAUUUUAAAAUAUAAAAAAUAUAAUUAAAAAUUAAUUUUAAACCCGAGCUGGAUAAAAUUCUAAUUUUAGAUAACGAUACUAAUAAGAAAUCAAUAUUAAAAUGAAAAUGAAAAGUAAUUUAAUAUAAUUUUUGAGUCUUGGGCAAAGGCACUCAAUGAAUGCUUGGAAAGAAAUAAUGCAACUUGGUGAUAGCUUUUGUUGGAGUAGUAUGCUCUUAUUAUAGUUUUAUGUUUUUAUCUUGCAAAAACAACAUAUUGGAGUUUUCGGCAUGAUUUUUUCUUAAUACUUUACAUGAAAAAUAAUAAUGGGACUUAAAAAUCUAUCAAAAGCUUCACCAUAAUAAUAAUAAUAAUAAUAAUAAUAAUAAAUUGCUACAAUAUUACAACACAAAGUUACAAUAAGAGCUUAUAACUCAACAAAGGUUAUCAAUAAAUAAUCUCAGGCAAGCUAAAGAGAAAUGUUGAGAAUACCACCCGAAUAGUGACUGACUUUAAAAGUUGAAAACCCGAAGCUAUAGUAUCUCAAACGAAAUCAAACCAUUAACAUUAAAAUUUUCAAGUCUACUAGCUACUGUAAAAAAUGCAGCUCCAACAUACACCAAAUGAGUCUUUGAUCGAAGAAAGUACAAAAACUAGUCUGGGUAAACCAAGCUGCCAAACUUACUUAUCUUAUCUUUAAUUUUGCAGUGAAAUUAAAAAUUAAGUUUUUGUUUAUUUCACUUGGAACAACUUUCAAAAAAUUAUUUUUGAAAAAUGGAUUGGUUUUUCGAAAUAGAUGAUAUUUUAUUGUGUUAAAAUUUUAUUCGUUGUUGGAAAACUUUUUUUAAAUCAUUUUCUUAAAGUUAUUUUUAGUGAAACAAACAUAACAUAAAUAUAUUUGUUACAAAAAAAUUAUAUUAGUAUUUUCUUUUGACAAUUAAAAUUUAUUUUAUGAUAAGACAAUAUUUUGUAAUAAUUAAUAUCAUAUAUAUAUACGUAAUAAAAAAAUCUUGUUUAAUUAAAAUUUAAUUAAAAUUAAAUAUAUUAAUAAAGCUACAUAUAAUCAUAUUUUUUAUAAUUAAAAUAUUAAUAUAAAUAUUUUUCAAUAAUAUAUUAAAAUAUUAAAAUUUAAAUUAUUAUUACUUAAAUUAAUUAUUAAAAUAAAAAAUUUAAUAUUAAAUAAUUUAUUCAAUGAUAAGUUUUAUUAAUAAUUUAUUGUAUUAUUAAAUAUAAUUAAUUAAAUAUGCAUAUUUAAUAAUAUUACGUUAUAAUAUUUUAAUAUUCUUAAACAGCCAUGUUUUUAAGAUGCUGGUGAUGGUGAUGCUGCGGGCCUCUCUUGUUACAAUUACUAUAAUUUUUUGUGCAAUAAUUGAAGUUGUUGGGUGGUCAAGCAAACCUCUUUUGACUGAGAUGCAUAUAAUAUACCCGCAUGUCCCCGCCUCCUAAAAUUUAAAUUUGUUAUUUGAAUCUUUAAAUUUUUUAAUAUAAUAUACCCGCAUGUCCCCGCCUCCUAAAAUUUAAAUUUGUUAUUUGAAUCUUUAAAUUUUUUAAAAAUUUUAAAUUCAUAAAAGUAAAAUUAUACUUUGACCCUCUAAAAUUAUAAAAAUUUAAUUAAUCUUUUAAAUUCAUUGGGCCCCUAAUAUAUUGUUCAGGCUUCACCCUUGAUACUGAUGUUGACUAUUUUAGAGUAUGUGUCUUCUUUAACAGGGUUAAAUUAUAUAUUUAUAUAAUAUAGUUAUUGUUUAUGGACGUGACAUCGUAACUAGGUUCUUAUGCAUGUCAACAUAUAUCCUAUUUUAAGGUUAACACGUAUUUUUAAAUGUGAAUUCACCUAUAUAAUGGUAUGAACCAUCAUGCAGUCUCAUAAAAUAUGCGAAUAUAUGUCGUGCGAACACAAAGUACAAUCCACACAGAAUACGAAUUAAGACCCAAUUGAAUAAUCGGAUACGAAUCAGUAAUAAUGAAUUUCAUAACAGCCACCAACCCCUCUUUUGUUUUAAUUUAUUUUAUUUCCAGUAAGUUAUUGUUUGUGAGAAUUCACAACAAAUGCUUUUGUCAUUAUUUUGUUGGUAAAUAAUAAUAAGAUUAAACUUUACUUUCUUAAGCUCCUUCAAUUCUUUGGAAGUUGGUGGUUUUUUAUUCUAAUCUUAUUUUUUUUAUUAAUUUCUUUUUUUAUAAUAAAUGUGUUUAUAGAUCAGGUUGGAUUAUAAUUGAAUCAUUGUCUGGUAUUAACAUAAUUUAAAUCGAUUAAAAUUUAUUCGACUGGAAAUAUAAAUUUAAAAUUUUACUUCAAUUUAUCUUAAUUUAUAAAUUGUGAAUUUAAAUUUAUUUAUUUUCUCUCAUUAUAUUCAGUUUUUCGGAUCAUAUUUGGCCCAGAACAAAAACUAGAACAAAAAAACAAAUAUAUAUGUUUUCCAAAAAUUAAAUUGUUAACUUUAAAAAAAUAUAUUUUUAGCUAUUUAUCAUCAUAGAGAAAAACAAAUAAGGUCACCUCGCCUUAUGCUUCAACACCUCAACCUAGAUUCUCAUCACCUGUAUUUAUCAUCGAUUCAGAUUUUUAUUUUUACUAUAUUCUAGAUCUACCUAUAAAUAUAUCUUCAAACUUCCUCUGGUUAAGUUCAUUCAUAGAUAGGUGAGUAAACUUGAGCUUCAGCUUCAACAAACACCUUAGUUUGCAAUUCUCUCAUACUAAAAAUAUGGAAGUUUACCAUGUAAUUAGAGAUUUGGUCUCAUUGCUUGUUGUUGGUUUAUUAAUGAUAUGGGGAUGGAGAGCUUUAAACUGGGUAUGGUUGGCCCCAAAGAGGCUCGAAAGGUGCUUGAGACAACAGGGUUUUGCAGGGAAUCCUUACAGGUUCCUUUCUGGUGACAUAAAAGAGCUCUUAACUAUGAGCAGACAAACAAGAGCCAAACCUAUGCCUCUUAGUGAUGAUAUUGGGCCUUAUGUUGCUCCUUUUCUUCAUCAAACUGUCAACCAGUAUGGUAUGUUUAAUUAUUAUUUAAUCUUCAAUUUAUGAUAAUUCUUUGUUAUUUAUGAAUGGAAUUUAUUGGGAGGAAAUGCAGGAAAGAAUUCAUUUACGUGGAUUGGUCCAAGACAAAGGGUGAACAUUAUGGACCCUGAAAAAAUAAGAGAAAUAUUUACCAAAUUUAAUGACUUCCAGAAGGUGCGUACCAAUCCACUGCUUACUUUGCUUGUAAGCGGCCUUGUUAACCUCGAAGGAGACCGAUGGAGCAAACAUAGAAAAAUCAUAAACCCUUCAUUUCAUCAAGAUAAGUUGAAGGUAUAGAAUAGUGAUGGGUACUUAAGACUUAAUUUACAGAAAACAUGAUACUUAAAUCUAUGCUUUUCUGAUUUAGAAAUGAUUGGAUGCAGAAUAUGUUGCCAGCAUUUUAUCAAAGUUGUUGUGACAUGUUAAGCAAAUGGGAGAAGAUGGUGUGUACAGAAGGAUACAGUGAGUUAGAUGUGUGGCCUUAUCUUGUAGAUUUGACAAGAGAUGUGAUUUCCCGAUCUGCUUUUGGAAGCAGCUUCGAAGAAGGCAGACGAAUUUUCCAAUUACUAGAUGACCAACUCGUUCUCAGAAUCAAAUUACUACAAACUGUUUACAUUCCAGGAUGGAGGUAACCCUCAAUUUACUUGAAAAAGGUUGCAAAUGUUGGAAUUGGCUAAAUUCGUGUUUGUUUCCUUGAAGGUUUUUGCCCACAAAGACAAACAGGGAGGUGAAGAUGAAACACAAAGACAUAAAAGAGUCGCUCAGGGAAAUGAUAAAAAGAAGAGAGCAGGCAAUUAAAGCAGGGGAAGAGAGCAAUGAGGACUUGUUGGACAUACUUGUGGAAUCCAAUAUCAGAGAAAUGGAAGCAAAGAAAAAGGGGAUGAGCAUUGAGGAUGUGAUUGAGGAAUGCAAGCUGUUUUACUUUGCUGGCCAGGAGACCACUUCGGUCUUACUGGUGUGGACUAUGGUUUUAUUAGCAAGGUAUCCCGAUUGGCAAAGUAAAGCAAGAGAGGAGGUUUUGCAUGUUUUGGGUGACAGUAAACCUGAUGCUGAUGGCCUUAAUCGCCUCAAAGUUGUAAGUCCCUAGCAUGUCUUUUGAAGGUCCGAUCAAUAAGGUCGACAACUCAAAAAUUUGGUUUCUUUUUUCGCUAAUUCUACAGUUAACAAUGAUAUUGUACGAGGUUCUAAGGCUGUACCCAUCAGCGACUGAGCUAGGACGUUCCGUUCCAAAAGAAAUAAAACUGGGAAAUUUGUUGUUACCAGCAGGAACAGAAAUUUCGGUUCCGAUCCUGCUGAUCCACCAUGACAAAGAUCUUUGGGGCGAUGACGCACGGGAAUUUAAGCCAGAGCGGUUCGCGGAAGGGGUUUCCAAAGCAACAAAGAGUCAAGUCACGUUUCUGCCAUUCGGAUGGGGUCCUAGGAUCUGCAUUGCCCAGAAUUUUGCUAUGAUGGAAGCCAAAAUGGCGGUGGCCAUGAUUCUCCAACGCUUCUGGUUCGAGCUUUCCCCUUCCUAUGCUCACUCUCCUUGCAGCAUGGUAACGCUUCGUCCACAGCAUGGUGCACAGAUUAUUUUACAUAAACUUGGCUCUAAUUGAGUAGUUAUGUAAACAAAUCAUUGUGAAAAUAGUGUUUUAACGUAUCGUAAAAACUCCGGUGUCUGUAAUGGAACAAUUCCGAUGCAUGGAUAGUAAAUUUUGUGAUGUUUGGUGAAGUCCGAAAUAAUAUGCAGAACUUGAGUGUCCUGAAUGGAUGUAGUAUUUAAUGGUGGACAUAGUUGAGGGACUAAUGUGGGAAUUAUCAAACAAAGAAUUGCAUAUGGUACAAAGACUUGUAUGGAAAUUAGAGCAGGGGGAGUAGAAAAUGACUACUUCUACGGGCAUCAAUUGAGAAAGAUUUCCGGUGCAAAUGUUAGCAAAUUUUUGAGCUUCAGCCUUAAACAUUAGCAAGAUUGCAAUACCGGGAUUAUCUAGUGUUGGUUGCCCACUCAAUUGAGGGUUAAGUUGAAGGAUUUGUUGAAGCAAGCUAAGCUAUCAAUCAAGGUUGGAGCAAGCUUAGGAGGUCACAAUACAUCAUUAUUGCAUAAUUAUUUAAAUGAAAUUUAAUAUUUAAAUAAAAAAUAUUAAUAUAGUACCAACAAUAUUCCAUUUCUUUUAACCAAGUGUUUCUAGAUUAUGAAAUUCAUUAAUGAUUUGUAAAAUAUAUUGAUGCGAUCCCGGCCGCAUCAUGUUUCGAUACAACUCGAUGACCUCAGAAUUGACCUAAACUCUAGGGGCCCAAGUGCAAAAUGAAGCUUAAUUUCAGCUCAAUGAGCUCAAUUCUAGCUUCUUCAAGCUCGUCUAGUUCAACCCAAGCUCAUUUAGCUUAACUUCAACCCAUUUUUAAUUUGUUGGAAUAAGUAUUUAGUUGCUGGAAUAAAUUACUCAUCUUAGUUAAUUGAGUUCAUCUUAGUUAAUUAAGUUGUUGGAAUAUAUUACUCAUCUUAGUUAAUUUAGUUGCUAGAAUAAUUUAUUGUUGCAUGUGUUUUUAAGUUUAUUAAAUUCAGUUAAGUGUUAAAUGUGUUUAUUUACAGUUUAUUAACUAAGCUUGUUAAGUCUAAUAUGUGUUAAAAUGUGUUUAAUGUGUUUGUUUGUAGGUGACUAAUCAGUUGGAAACAAUUAUGUACAAGGGCUGUUACAAAGUGUUAAAUGCGACUAUUCAUUUGGAAUCGGUUACAUACAAGGGGCUAUUACAUUAUUUAAAGGAGAGCAUUAUACAUCAUUUAAAGGAGAAUUUAAAGCUUUUCUUAAAACUUUUUGGCUGCUCAAGAAUGAAAUCUAAGCAUUCAAGCUUAUUAAAUCAACUGAAUUAGAACAUUAAAUGAUCUUAUUGAUAGUUGCUGUUAUUUAGGCCUAGAAUUUCAAGAGUUUGUGCUUAGUGACUAAGUUAAUUUCAGCUCAUUAUUAGCUCAUUAAGCUGAACAAAAGUGACUAUUCGGCUAGGCCUCAUCUAGCACUAUAAAUACUUGUAAUCAGCUCAUUGUAAAAAAAACUUUUUGCUGAAUUUAUGCUAAAUUUGAAACUUGUGAGAUUUCCAAUUCUCGUUGUUCUUUCGAGAUUGAAUUGACUUAUCAAGUUUUCUUGUGGCAUCAUUCUUUCUUUUGUUUAAACCGAAUCUUAUCACCUUUUGGUGUGGCGUUCAUAUACAUUUGGUUCCUAUCACUUUUGAUAGUGGGUAAAGGUCAUUGCUGCUUUCUUUAAAUCGUAAAUCACCUAAGAGCCAUUUUGAGACUCGGGUCAACAAUCUAAUAUUGUUGGUUCAUUCUCGGUCUUAGCCAAAUUAUCCAUUAUUUACUUAACCAUUUUACCUACUACCAUUGUUUGAAGCCAUUUAUCCUAUUUUGUUUCAUUUAACUGAAACGAACUUAUCCUUACUCAAUUCACGAUCGGGUAAUCUAAACGACUCGAAUCAUUCCGAAACGAGUUCGUAUCAUAUAUCCUCCAUUCUUAUUGAGUGGGUGUAAUGAAAAUUCUCCUAUUUCUAAUUGUGAUAAAGUAGAAACUCUCUUUAGAAAAAAGGCAGCAACAUUUUUCAAUUAUUAAUUGAACACCUUGGUGAAUUUUCGUUUUUUUUCUUUUUUUCUUUUUACGGUUCAAUUUUCGUUUGGGUAUUGUAAUUUCAGGUUAAUCAUUGUUUGGUUGAUAUUCUCAACUUCAAUCUUUAAUUUACUUGAGAUUAUUAGUUGAUUGUUUUUGUUGGAAUUAUAUGAUUUUAUUGUGUAUUUAUGUUUUAAUCUUUUAGAAAGAAGUUUUUAUGUGGACUUUCAAGCUUCGUAAUUUUUAUUAUUUGCUUUACGUAAAAAAAACUCGUGGGAUACAAAAAUUCACAAAAAAACUUGCUAUAAGAUUACAACACAAAACCAUAAGCUUAUAACUCAACAAAAGCUAUCAAUAAAUAAUCUCAAGCUAGCUAAAGAGAAAUGUAAAGAAUAUCACCCAAACAGUAACUUGCUUUAAAAGUUAAAAAUCCAAAGUUAUAGUACCCCAAACGAAAAUCGAAUAUUAAACAUUAAAGAUCUUCGAUUCUACUAGCUAUUGUAAAAAAAAAAAAUUCCAACGGACACCAAAUAGACCUUUGAUCGAAGAAAAUACGAAAACUAGUCUGGUUAAAACUACAUGCCAAACUCACUUUUUCUCAUUUCUUUAACUUGCGGUGAAAUUCAAAACUAAGGUUAUAUUUUUUUCACUGAAAUUAACUUUAAAAAAAUUAUCUCUAAAAAAUGAUUGAUUUUUCAAAAAAGAUUGAUAUUUUUUUAUGUUUGGAUGAUUUUUUGUAAAAUAUAUUUCGUUGUUUGACAAAUUUUUUUGAAAUAAUUUUCUUAGAGUUGUUUUUAGUAAAACAAACAUAAGAUAGAUAUAUUUGUUACAAAAGAUUAUAGUAACAUUUUCUUUUGACAAUUUAAAUUUAUUUUAUAACCAGAUGAUAUUUUAUAAUAAUUAAUAUUAUAUAUAAACUUAAUAAUAAACAAUAUCUAAUUAAAACUUAAUUUAUAUUAAAUAUAUUAAUAAAGCUAAGUAUAAUUUAAACAAAUACUCAUGUUUUAUAUCAUUAAAAUAUUAAUAUAAAUAUUUUUCAAUAAUAUAUUAAGAAUAUUAUUUAAAAUUUAAAAUUAUUAUUUUUAAAAUUAAUUAUUAAAAUAAAAAUGUAAUAUUAAAUAAUUUAUCAAAAUGAUAAGUCAUAUUAAUAAUUUAUUAGAUUAUUAAAUAUAAAUAAUUAAAUAUGUAUAUUUAAUAAUAUUGAACAUUAUAAUAUUUUUUAUUAAUAUUUUAAUAUUAUUAAUAUAAUAAUAUUGGACUUGAUUCAAGUUAAUUUUUAUAUAAAAAAAUAAAAUUACAUGUAAAUGAACUCAUUUUCAAAAAAAUAACUUGUACUUUUAAAAAAGGUAAACUAAUUUACAGAAAAAUAAACUUAUUUUCUGUUAAUCUAUAAUUUUUUUUGUUAAUCAAAUUAUUUUCAUGAAAUAAAUAUAAAAAAAUACAAAAAAAAAACAGUUUCCAUAUUAACACUCAAUACUAAACUGUCAUUUUCCUCAGCUUCCCUAAUUUGUAUGUAGCAGUGAACGUUUGAUCGAAUCGAGUAAAAAAAAUUGAGUUGACGAGUCAUAUUUUAUCAUCUUAACUUGAUUUGAGAUUUUUUUAAAUCAAGUCAAAGACUAAGAGCACAUAAAUUUGAAACCUUAUCUAUUUGAAUUUGUUUUUAAAAAAAAAGAAAAAAAAUACUUUAGCAUGAUAAACUUGAAUUGUGAAUUAACUUAUUUAGAUCCCAAAAUUAUUAUUUUAUAAUUUUUUUAAAAAAUAUAAAUUUUAAAAUUUUUAUAAAUAUUUUGAAUUGAAUUUUUGUUGAGAGAGAGACCGAUCUAUCAUUUUCAAAAUUAAAAAAAAGACCAAACUAUAUUUACAGCAAUUUAUUAUUCGAAUUAUUUAAAUUAUAUAAUUUAACUCAAUUUAAAAUCGAAACUCGAAUAACUAAAUUUAAUUAACCCGAAAUUUAUUUUUUAAAUUUUUUAAAUCAAAUCGAAUUUUGUUCGCCCUACAUCAAUAACUUUGUAUCCAUAUCAAGCUUUUUUUUAAGCUAUAUAUAUUAUUUUAGAGAAUACAUGGUCACCACGGUUCAAUGAUUGAACACCACUCCACUCUCCACUUUUUUUUGUGGUUUAUCCUCUUAAUUUUUUGAGGAUAUCAUUUACUAAAUAAUUUAUUUUUUACAUAAAUUUUAAUAUAUAUUAAUAAUAAAUUAAUUCAAUUGGUAAUAUUUAACUAUUCUCAUGACUCAUUUUUAAUAAAGAAAAUAAUAAAAUUCAAUUAUGAUAAGGAGGUUUUAUUUUUAACAAAAAUUAUUUUUUAUAUUUCUAAGUUUAAAUCUAAAUUUAUACAAGUUAUUCUUUAUUUUAUAUCUAAUUAUUGUAAAACAUAAAUAAUAAUUUUUUUUUUUCCUUUUCAUGCUACCAAACAAUCCAUUAAUCAUUAAUUAUAUUAAAAUCUUUGACUUAUUAAUAUUUAUGGACAGUAAAUCGGAUGCUAAAGAAAUCUUAGUCAAACCAAAAAGAAAGAAGAGAUAGAGGUGGGCAAAGCUGAGGUUCAGCUUUCAUAAACACCUUCAUUUGAAGACACAGUUCUCAUACUCAAACCAAAAGACAUGGAAGUUUUCCUUGUAAUUAGAGAUCUGGUUUCACUGCUUGUUGUUGGGUUAUUAAUGAUAUGGGGAUGGAGGGCUUUAAACUGGGUAUGGUUGACCCCAAAGAGACUCGAAAGGUGCUUGAAACAACAGGGUUUUGCAGGAAAUCCUUAUAGGUUCCUUUCUGGAGACAUCAAAGAGAGCUUCACUAUGAGCAGACAAACAAGAGCCAAACCUAUGCCUGUUAGUGAUGAUAUUGAGGCUUAUGUUGUUCCUUUUCUUCAUCGAACUAUCAACAAUCAUGGUAUGUUCUACAUUAAUCUGCAAUUUCAUCGUGAUAUUCAGAUUUCUUUUUUUAUGUCUGAAGUUUAUUAGGGGAUAUGCAGGAAAUAAUUCAUUUAUGUGGUUUGGUCCAAGACCAAGGGUGACAAUUAUGGACCCUGAAAAAAUAAGAGAAAUAUUUACCAAAUUCAAUGACUUCCAGAAGCCUCAUUCCAAUCCACUGGUUAGAUUCCUUGUAGGUGGCCUUUCCAACCUCGAGGGAGACCAAUGGAGUAAGCAUAGAAAAAUUUUAAACCCUGCAUUUCAUCAAGAUAAGUUGAAGGUAUGUUGUAUUUGCACUUUUUUUCCUCUUUCAAUUCAAUCAUUUUGACUUACCUUAAUCAAUACCUUUAGGAGACUAAUUUUCAUUUCUAAUAUAUUUAUGUACUUCUGGUAUGGAAAUAAUUGCAGAACAUGUUGCCAGCAUUUUAUCAAAGUUGUAAUGAGAUGAUAAGCAAAUGGGAGGAGAUGGUGUCUAAAGAAGGGUACAGUGAGUUAGAUGUGUGGCCUUAUAUCGUAAAUAUGACAAGAGAUGUGAUUUCCCGAGCUGCGUUUGGGAGCAGCUACGAAGAAGGAAGAGGAAUUUUCCAACUAUUAGAGGACCUAACCUCUCUCACAAUCAAAGUUUUUCAAUCUGUUUACAUUCCAGGAUGGAGGUAAACCUGAACUUUAUCUUCGAGUUUUAAGGAAAAUGUUACAGAUGUUGAAAUUCGAAUCUCGGGUGUUUGUUUUCUUGAAGGUUUUUACCCACAAAGACUAACAGGGAGUUGAAGAUGAAACACAAAGACAUAAAAGAAUCGCUUAGGGAAAUGAUAAAGAGAAGAGAGAAGGCAAUUAAAGCAGGGGAAGAGAGCAAUGAGGACUUGUUGGACAUACUUGUGGAAUCCAAUAUCAGAGAAAUGGAAGCAAAGCAUAAGGGGAUGAGCAUUGAGGAUGUGAUUGAGGAAUGCAAGCUGUUUUACUUUGCUGGCCAAGAGACCACUUCGGUCUUACUGGUGUGGACUAUGGUUUUACUAGCAAGAUAUCCUGAUUGGCAGACUAAAGCAAGGGACGAGGUCUUGCAUG